AGAGCUGGUUAAAGCGUUCUACUUCCAAAGAACUCAAGUAUGUUCUAGGAACUUUAGUGUGCCAGGGUGAGCUAGAGAAAGAUCCUAGAACAUGCUGGGUGUGGCUCUCCUCGAAAGGCCUCCGAGGAGACCAUGUAGCUCAGUUAGACCAGUUGCUCUAGGUUAGUGCUUGUUAAAGAGAAAUUCUGAGCCUACUGCAGUGGGUUCAGGCCUGUAUUCUCAGCUAUUGUGCCGGGGACUUGAGCAGGAGGCUCGUGUGAAACUAAGAAAUUAACUAACCCAACCUGGUUAACAAGCAGGAAUAUCCCUUUGUCCAGGAGUAAAAAGAACGUUUUAAAAAAACUUUAAUUUCAAGUCGUACCUCAUUUUGAUAUAACAUCAACAGUUCAGGUUUGACGUGAUUUAAAGGGAAGGAAUGUGUGUGUGUAAUAACCUAAUUGACAAGCAAUCGUGCCCAAUUCUCGCCCAAAGUUACUCUAGUGUUCAGAGGGCCAUUUUGUUUAAUUUGUUUUUUCAUAUCAUUUCUGGUGGGAAAAUACAUUUCUCUGAUACCCAAAUUAACUUGAUUGAAAUGUCUUAGACCUUGCCAUUUUCCAGUGGCUAAAGAGGUUAUUUCUCAAGUGUUUAAUUUUGUAAGUACAGUAUAUAUUAAUCUAACUGCUCCUGUCUGACAGUCUCACUCCAUGAGACAGUGUCAGCAAAUGUUUACUUACACCUCACUCCCCACCCCACUGCAAAAUUACUCAGCUUGAAAAUAUAUAAACUUUAAAUUGAGGUUUUCAGAAACUUGAACCACUUCUUGAUUUGCUCAAUAUAAUUUUCCUAAUUUCUUUACAAUAUUCUAAAACAUAUAUCAGAAAGGAAACACUUAAAAAACUGAUGCAGUCUAUAGGACCUGUCCAGUCAGAAAUUAUUUUGGGGAGGCUUCAUUUGUCAAACACGUACCUUUAAAUACUUGCAUGUAAAGAGUUUUAGUCAUUUAACAUAAGACGUUCCGUUCAUCCAUGAAAAGUGCAGACUGCAUUGGACUUCUGAUUUCUGUAUAACAUUGUUGCCAUUUUCUUCUUUAGGGACUGAAGCUAGAAGGUGAAAUAAAAAUAUUCUUUGUCCAUUUAGUUAUCCUUGACUCCAUGAAGUUCUCCAAAGUAAUUACUGGUGACCACAAUACCACCUACCGGUGGUGGCAGCGGCGUUGGCCCUGGACCAGCUGCCUUAUUGCUGACCACAGCUGCUCCUGAGCAGAGCAGAUGUUUCUCCUUUUGCCUUGGCAGUAAAAUUUUAUUGAGCAGUUUUGCAAAUACAGAGCAGCAUAUUCUACCUGAGGAUGGCUGGAGAUCGCAGCCACUUCGUGCAAUGCUAUGGGAUCUGUCUGGGCUGCCCACAGGCCCCACCUCUGGGCACGUGGGUCUCACUUGAAGGCUCAGGACUUGUCUACUGAGGCUGUGGUGGGUUUGCUUCCCUGCCCACCUGUGUGCUGGAACAGGAGCCACACUUGGAGUUAUGACCGACUGCUUUGAAAGGCCAUUGGCACUUUGCUCUCCCCGUUUGCGGCUGACAAAGGGAGCAAGGGUACUUUGUUGGGCUGUUUUGUUAGGGCACUUCCCUGAGCUCCACAUCUCUUCUGGUUUGGAUGUGGGCUUGGAAAUCUCUCUUGAAUUAGCUUCUUUUGGAGAACUGUCUGCCUCGUGGGCACUUCUUAAAUCAUGCCUGUCGAGGCCCUGAAGGAAGUGAGGUAGUCUAAGACAGUGUCUUUGUAGGCGGGACCUCUGGGGGUCCUUCUGACACUGGCAGUUCACACGUCUGCUUCUUCUCUGACAUGCUUAUUCUGAGUUCCUUGCCCCUGGAUAAAGGGAUGAUUUUGUGGAUUGUGGCUGAUACUUUGCAACAGUAGGAGGAGACAGAAAGGUCUAGCCAUACUGAGCUUCCAGGAGGACCUUGAGUUUGAUGUUCUAGAUCAACCUAGGCUACUCAGCAAGCUCCAGGACAGUGAGAGCAUUUAGUCAGGCUCUACCUAGAAGAGGAGGAGGAGGAUAUAUUGGGGGUGGAGGAGAAUCCUCCAUCAUUCCAGAUGUUUCCCAAGAACUUUUCAGAAAAGCAUGAUGCUAGCCGUUGAGGGUAUAGGCAUGGCAUGGAUUCCCACAGAGCCUUGGGCCUUGGGAAGAAGGGUCAGACAUAAGAUCAGAGGGCAGAGGCCAUGUGAGAAUGUGACUGGUCUGCACUUCCUCAGCAGACAGGAAGUGUUAGUGACACUCAGUUCCAGAGCAUGUCACUGUGGGAAUUGAUCUGGCAGGCAGAUGACCAAUCCUGAUAGCCUGAUAAUAAAUAAGGCUUCUCAUCGCAGCACCGGACACCAGAACUUCAUUGCAUAUUCUAUGUGGUCCGUAGGAGGUGCAUAGGAUAUGCGGAGAGGCUAUGUUAGACACACAGGUCAAAAGCGUAAAGUAGAGCAUCCACUUUCCAAAUGUUCUUAUGAGGGCGGGGGACACAGAUCUGCAAGCACAAGAACCCUGUGUGCAAGCUCUAGCAGUGACCUCCUCAAACAGUGUAUACUUAGGAGCACUAGAAACAUAAAAUGUCGUCAUUCUUCCGUGACCUUUUGUGGAUUAAUAUUUUUCUUCUUUUUUCUACUACUCCUGUAAAAUUGUAUUUUAAAAAUACAGACCGUAAAGCAGUGCCUGCAUUCCCUGCUGCUCUGGUAUUUGACUCAGGCUUGCCCUCCCCUUCUUUAUUCUGUUCCCAGAACGAGGUCUUCUUAAAUGGGGAUGAGAAAUGUUAAUUUUAAUCCUCCGAGGGCUUAUUUGCUAGCACAAAAGGUCAUGAAACACACACCCAAAAACGGUUUUGCUUAGAUCGUAAGCAGAGAUGUUAGCAGAGUCCCAUCAGAACUGUUGAGUCUCAGAAGUCCCCAUCGCCAUCGUUCGGAGAGCUGUGGAAUGGAAGCAGUCCCCCCUUACUGAUGGGAGGGGAGACCCCGUCUGAGCCCUCUAUUAUUUCAGGAAUUUCAGAAAAUAAUUCUUUUCAAGACUUUGUAAAAUGAUGGUGUGUUGUGUCCAAGAGUCUCUAAGUAGCUGUUCUCUGUCUGAUGUUUUGGUUUGGGGAUUUUUGAGACAAAGCCUUACCAUGUAGCCCAGGCUGGCCUUGAAUUUAUAAAAUUCCUCUCACCUCAGCCUUCCUAGAACUGGGAUCUACCAUACACAGCUCCCAGUGUUUUAUCUGUCCAAGGAAAGGUCCUUCCAAUAGCUAGCUGAUAGAGUACACCUCUCUCUCUCUCUCUCUCUCUCUCUCUCUCUCUCUCUCUCUCUCCCUCCCUUCCUCCCUCCCUCCCUCCCUCCCUCUCUCUCUCUCUCUCUCUCUCCCUCUCUCUCUCUCUCUCUCUCUCUCUCUCUCUCUCUCUCUCUCUGUGUGUGUGUGUGUGUGUGUGUGUGUGUGUGUGUGUGUGUGUGUGUCCAACCACACUUAAUGUUCUUGAAACUUCCUUUUGGGAAGACCCAAGGCAUUCAGCUUCACUCCCACCAAGAUUCUCAACUGAAAGCAGACGAGGAAAGUUUAAAAAGUUCCCACCCCACCCAAACCAAGGUAAUUAAUAUGAGCAGCAGCAGCAGCAGCCACUGUAGAAGGGAAGAAGGUUAUGAACUGGGCUGGUGUUAUCCUUGGGUGCAGGGAGAAGCUUUAAGGAAAGGUCAUAACUUGGACCCUGGAGAGAGAUGUGUCUUCAUGGCUGAACGUAUUUCUAAUUCACUUGUCUUCUUCAGCAUGUAUGUAAAAAAACAGGUUAUUAAAAGAAGAGAAGAGAAGAAAAUCUAAUUUAAAACACAAAUUCUAAGGUGGUAUACUGCAGGCCUGUAAUCCCAGCAGAAGGGAGGAUUAGUUUGGAGCCAGCCUUGGCCACAGGUUAAGUUUGGCAAGCUUGGUAGCGUGAGACUCUGCCUCAGAACAACAACAGUAAAACUGAUGUAAACAAACACACGUUCUAGUGAUUUGAAGCCUAGAUUUAUAAGCAAGAGCUCUUUAAUACACUAUGAAUGAGUAUAGCCCUCAGGUCUACUGAGCCGUUGGGCAGAUCCGAGUGCUUUUAUGAAACAGGAAGAGAGAAGAGGCUCUGCUUGGGAAAACAAGGCCUAGCUGAGCACCUCUCUUCUGUGUCACGGUCUGAUGCCUAGGCGAGUGCCAGAGACCUCAGAAGCAGAAGGUGAUGGAUACAACCAAGGAAGAGAAAGAAAGCAGCCUCCCGUAAGACCACUGCAGGCCACUCCCAGCAAUGAGUUCCUAUGAGCACACGGGUUGGGCCAAGAGCUGGUGAUCUGGAAGCCAGGCUGAGCUCCAGAUAUUAAGAAACAUUCAGCUCUGCAAGAGUUAAUGACCUCAGAUUCUGCUCCCCAACCCAAAAGUGAGUGCGGGCCAGAUAAUCACUAGGGAUGUCUUUUUGGUUCAAGGAACCUGUGAAGCUUGCCUUUGAAAAGGAGUCCUCCUCUAUUGGCUGAUCUCAGAAGACUUCUAUAACUGACGGCUACCUUGAGAUGCUUCAGAGCAGGGCCCUCUUCAUGCUAGAGAUGACUCCAGAGCCCAACACACAGUUCCACCACUGCUUCCACUCCCUGACCCUACCCCAGCAAACUCUUAGCCCAUUUCCUAUACACCAGUCUCAGAUCACUAGUACAAGAUCUAGGUAUUGUAAGCCCAGUUAGAAGGCAAAACAAUCAAACUCUGGGCUCCCACACACACUGGCAUGUGACCUGACUUUCCAAAGAUCUGUCAGCCUAGUGGUAGGCUGGUGAAGAUUAUGUGGAUAUUAGGUCCAGAUCUAAUGAAUUUAGGAUUCGGUACUGGAAAAGACUGGAUCCUGGUGCAUCCGAGACUUUGCUUGUGAAGCCUCCGGAGUUGUUGACUGAUGUGUUAGUCUCCUGGGACAGGGCUGCACACUUGGGAAAGUAGCAGGAGCAUCAGAUCUCCUCAGGUCAUCUGCCCCCAUAAAAACGCCAUGGCAACUAGGAAAAGGCUGGACCGCUGGGUUCCCAGCAAGACUGGGUUAUUGUACAAAGCCACCCAGUCCAUCUUUGUUUAUGGGACUCGUUUUCGGGCACACGUGUUUUAUAGUGAGGCGGAGACUGUAAAGAAGCUAUUUAUAAUGAAGACCCUAAAUAUGUGAGCGUCAUAUUAAGCUUGAUCUAAAGGAACUUCCCAUGGGUGGCAGUUUAGGAGAAAAGGGAGCAAAGGAUGAGAAAGGGGGGUGGGGGGGACAACUAAUAAAAAUAGCUGAGAUCACUCAACAGUUAUCAGGAAACAGAUACUACAGUUUUAUAACAUGAAGUCCUAAAAGUAUAUGCACUCUUAAAAGGCAAUUAAAACGUAUGCUCCACAGCUAUAAAACAUUUUCUUUUCAUCUGCAACAUAGAGGGCAGAUUACAACACAUUAAUAACGUUUUGUUUAGAGUUCAGUUUCUGAUGGUUUCCAAAUGUAGUCUGUGUAGAUUAACCAGAAGGAGUCCAGUUCCCUUUUUUAAGAGGGCUUGUAAAGGAAAGCAAUGUGGUAAGAUUGUUAUGAAAAGAGAGUGUAUUUAGGAAAUAGCACUUAGCAGGGUCUCUCUGAAUGGCUGCCAGGUCAGGAAGCUGAAGUGCAAGGCUUGGCCCUUGUUCAGCCCCCCCAGUUCCAGCUCCUUGACCACACAGUACGUCAGGAGCAUGUCACAAGCCAGCCAGGAAGGCUUAGCCCCGCCCCUGGACCAGCUUGGCACAGCAGCUUUCACAUAACCCAGGGCUCCAGAGGGGCCAGAGGCAGGCAUUCCAGGGCCACGGGAACAAGCAAUUUUUAAAAUAGAAAUGAAGAACUUUUUUUAAGCCUGGGAAUUAAACAGUUCCUAGGUCCUUAUGGAACAGGGCCCCUUGUGUAGAGUGUCAGGGGUAAAAAGGUCCCUAAAGGUUAUCUAAUUCUCGGUCCUCAUUCCGAGGCAGUGACAUGGGAGCAGUCCUGAAGUCCCUAUCCCUGAGUUCUCUGGCUGUUAGACUCACUGUCACUGGCCUCAGUCUCAUGUCCUCUGAGUUCAGGAGCCAGCCUCACUGCUCUCCCAUCCUCUCUCUCCCUCUUGGUUUUGACUCUAGGUGUCCGUCCAUCCCAUGCUGUACCUACAACCUUUGUAACGACUCAGAGUCUCAGCCUUAGCUGCUUCUACAAACCAUGCUGUCAGCAUCCGCUUCACUGUUAGCAGGACGGUGAAACACGCGCAUGCUUCAGUUCCAGUUCCUUGCUCCAUAUGAACCUGUUGUUAGUAAUGGCAUUCAGGUUGUUUCAUGUUUGUGAUUUUCACUACUGUUAACUUGUGCAGUUGCUGUAGUUAGAGUCACCUUUAGGAAUGUGGCCUUGUGAAUGCCAGGGUUGCCUAAGGUAGAGUAAAAAGGUCACAAGCCACCAGAAGUCUAGACCAAUGCUGCCAGGAACCCUGCGGUUAGAUGCCAGAUGCCAGCUGAGGAACCUGGAUUCCCAGGGGUCCUCCUCCCUGUUGCUGUCCUGUUUGGUUCCAGGGUUAACUUUGUUCAUGCGUUUCACUGAAAUAGGCCUUGGAGCUGUGGGGUAUCUUUUGUAAUUCAUUCUCCUUGGCUUCCUUGCGAUCUGGCUUUACUUUUGCUAGCCUACUUUGGUCAUUGGAUGGAAUCUUGUCUAAUUUACAUAUAAAAGGAACUCUGUUGAUGAAAGAGCCUUCAGCUAAUAGGCCUGAGACCUAAAUCCUGUAGGCUUUCUUCUCUGUUUGGCCCACUGGGACCCUAGUUAAAAUCGCAGUUGUGCCCUUGUUCCUUAGUCAACCUAGAGACAACCCUGCUGGAAAACUCAAGAGAGCCAGCCGCCUUCCUCGUAGGUUAUUAGGGAACAAUCCCCUAUAAAAGUUAAGUGGAUGUUUUUCAUUUAAAACCUUGAAGAGGCUUAGCCCUGCUGGGUUGCUGCCGGCCUCCCUCAGCAGGACCCUGGAGGCCUGUGGUAAUAACCCUACUCUGAAGAUGACUUAACUUUCUAGCUGCUAUGGCCAGCAUAUUUCUUUUUAAAUACAAGACUCACGGGUUUAGAAAGUAGAAUUGUUACCUCAGUCGAUACCUGGGUGACCUUCCCUUUGGACUCCUAUCCCUCUGCCACUACCUGACAGCGGGGGUCAUAACAAAGCCAUCAUUUACCUAAAAAAAAAAAAAAAAAAAAAGUCAACUACAAGCUCAUGUGACUUCAGUAAGAACAUUUUUAAUCUUAAAUCAUUCAGUUCCUGUAUUUUGCCUGGUCACAGUGAAAUGACCCUAUUUUGUCACCUCGCUUUUUUCUCCCUGAUACCUUCCUCUGUGGGCCUCUUGUUUCAUUACAAUAAUCUGAGUUUGUUCUGAAGGCACUGGUGAACGUUUUUUCUCAAAAACUUGUCUCAAGGAAGCACAAUGACUUAUUGAAGUUUCAUAUGUUACUUGCUCUCAACUCCCAGAGAUCAGCAAAGAUCCUUCACCUUUUUCUCCACCCCAGACGUGGAUGAAAAUAUCAGCAAUUCCUGUCUUCUGUCACUUGUCACAAAUACUUUCCCAAGCUAAUCUCACUUAGGAUUUGCCAAGGAACAGAACCAAAGCACAGGGGGUCACUACUCACCUCUGGGUUCCCUUUCACAAGGUAAGAAGAGACUGAGGUUAGACAUGCCGCAGAGACCCUGAGCCUGGAGGAACUGGAGUAGUUUGUAAUCCCAGCAGCCGGGACACAGAAGCUUGGCCCACAGGUCACAAGCCUGCCCAGGUGUUACUGACAUACUGUCUCUAAGAGUCGGGGUGGGAGGAGGGAAGGACAGUUGGAUGAGCUGGACCAAACUGCUUCCCUAGCUGCCCUCUAUUUAGUUUCUACAUUCUGCUUUCCUAUGUUUCUUCUCCAUGCCACUGUCUCCAAAGCAUGCAUGCAGCUACCAAGGAGACAGAGACCUCGUCUCCAUACUUCUGCGCCCACAGUGGUCAUAUCCUCAUGAGCAAGGAGUAGGUGUCAGCCCUGAAAUCAGAGAAGGCUUGGCUCUGUGCUUCUCUCUGGGUGCUUUACUGCUGUGUCUGUAGAGAGUGAAGCUUUUCCAACAGAAAGGUCGGUCUUCGGAAUUCUUUUAUAGACUGUUUUAGCCAUACUGUGUGUAGGGUUCAGAGACUUGAGGGUUUCUGCUGUAGCUGCUUAUGUGGGAAACGCACCACAGCGUUCCUUUCCCUGAGCUGUUUGUGGUAACAUCCUAGCAAUUUGUUUAGAUGUUCAGUGAAUGGUACCUUAUUAUUUUAUUAAGUGAUGGGGUUUAACUUGAAGGAAACUUGAGUUCUUGAUGGUUUUCUUGGCAAGCUACUGUAUACAGAUUUCCUCCUAGACUCUAGGACUGGGAAGGCCGUACCACCCUUUCCUCUUAGAAAUGGAUCUUGGUCAAACAGAUUUCUGAACCUUCAAAUCACAACUGUCUCCUUUAUAUUUUAUUUUCUGACUUUUCUUAUACCUUUCACAGUGAGUAUAUGUUACCCACCACACCCUCAGCCUCUGCUGGUAGGCAUAAGCCAGUGGCCCAGUGACUUUAUGCAGUGGAGGCACUUUCUGACAGAAACGUUGUAGACUUACUUUCAAAGAGGCCCUGACCUAGACCACCCUACAGAGGCCAAUAAGUCUCUUGCCAUCAAGCCUGAAGCAGUUUCUUCUCUGGUUGGCUUUCUGUGGAUAUCUUUGUCUAGGGAGUUCACGGUGUCAGAGAUCAAUGUGCGCCUCUUGACUUUGAAGACACUGAGUCAGUGAGGCACGAGGAGUUAGGUGGUUAGCCAGCUGGAGACAGGGCCACGUAAAGCAACCCCUUCAUAAGGAACCCGAGGAGUUCCGGGCUAUUUCUGUCCUGUGGCCCAAGAAGCACUAGCAGCCCAGGCCUCAACCUGCAGAAAGGCAAGAGCUCAGUGCUGGCCUUAAGCAUGGUUCCAAGAAAGUCCUCUGGCAGUCUCAGGUACCACUAGGUGUCUGCCUUGGGGCUUAGACGACAGCACUAAAAUGAUAUGUCUGAUAGAGACAAGGAUCCUGGCUUUUGACACGUCUUCAAUCGUCUCUUCAUAUGCACAGAUAUACUCAGUCUCUCCUAAUGAGAAUACUUCAGUAGUCAUACAAGAAUCUUAACCAAAAUAACUGAAGUUUUCUCGUGUCAAAGCACUGUUCUCCUCACAAACUUUAAGGAAGCCAGAUGGUGGCACACCUGUGAGCCUGGCACUCUGGAGUCGGAGGUAGAGGAUUGUCAGCUCAAGGCCAUCUAGGGCUUUGUAGCAAGUUCAAGUCUAACUUGAGCUCCAUACACUGUCUUUCAAAGCCAAGAGUUAGGGACAGAAUUCAGUGGUGAAGGUUUACCUAACAUGUUCAGGACCCUGAGUUCCAUCCUAGAGUUGGAAACAGACUAGAAAGACACUUGGCUUAUAUGUUACUGCCUUUAAAUGAUGUCUCGGGUAAGGUAUUAUGGGGAGAAAUGGGUCUGAGACCACUAGUCAAAUAAUCCAAGAAAUGACAGUAUGUGGCCUUCGUUUAGCCCGUGACUUAGUCUGUUCAAACAUGAGCAGCUCAGAGGGUCUCAUGACUAUUAACUGAAAUGCGCAUGCAGUGUGCACAUGCUUAGUGGGGAUCGGGGAGACACAGUUCCCAAACCCUGGCUUCCACCUUAGUUCUAACUGAUAUCUUCUGUCUUGCUCACCACUUCUUGCUGAGAGGGCUGUGUGUGUGACAGAGUUGAUUGCUCACCAUCUCCCACACAUGCCUGACCUUCUCAUCUUCAUUCAGGUGCCCCUUUCCUCUGACGAGCCCUCCUUCCAGCAGACUCUUCCCUUAAAUCCCCUUGAUUACAUCACAAAAUGGAUUAAGUAUUACAGUAGAAAGAUGCUCAUUCCUUAGGCCCUGGCUUUCUAACAAGGGUGAUCAGACUCUCCUAAUGCAAUGGGACUGGGAUAUGCCCUUUGUCAUGUGUUUAGGAAGCUUGUUCUUACAGGGGAAGAAGCAGACAACACUGGCCAGUAUUGACCACUGACUGUCCUGUCCUAUUGUACAUAGCAUAUGGACUUGUGUUUGUAAUUCCUCUGAGAUAAGAUUUUUACCAACCCUUGUAAUUUUAUUAAUCCAUUCUAGACUGACAGAUGUUGCAGUGAGCCCUGAGCUCUUGAGGAUUCUUGUUUCAUUUCUGAUUAAAUGAUGAGUUUCCUCCUUAAACCCAAGGGUCUACGUAUGUACAGCCCUUCUCUCCUAAAGAUCUUGUUUGAGUGCCAGAAGGAACCUGGUUAUUCUCUGGUCAGAACCCAGUGGCACUUUCUAUAUCUGAACCCUUUCUAAAUGUUUCCUUCUUGCAAAGAUAACACCAGGUAUACUGUCAGCACUGAGAUAAUAACAGCUGGUAUACAGGCUUUACUUUUACUUGUGUUUUUACUUUGAAGGGGCCUGAAGAUAAUAAGUGGUGCCCAGAGAAUUAAUCUGUGUGGGUCUCCGUACUUCUCAAGGGUGCACAGAAUUUGAGAGCCCUGAAACUGAGCCGGAUAAUGACCCAGAGGUCUGCUAAGUGUUCCAGGGUGCUUGGUCCUUCGUUCUCCCUUAUUAGACUCCAGCCCUGCCUUUCACAGCACAGUAAUUGCUGCAGGGCGUCAGCCCAGGUGACCUGUCUCACAGUCCAAGCUGAGGCUGUCUGUCAGUGUCCUUAUGGGUCUCUGGUAACAAUGGGACGUGGUACCCUAGAACGCAGAUUGGUCAGCUCUAGAACUCAGUGAACUCAUGAACUUUUCCAGCCAUUUUGUUUUUUCCUUUCCAUCAACCUACUUCUAAGAAGAGGCUCAUGUUCUGUUCCAAGGGCACCAGCCUUCAAAUGGGCACUUGUCCAUUCCUGGCCUAGGACAAUCAUGUUGGAGAUCUCCCGUAGACACCAGACACUCCCUAUCGCUCCCGCUCUCCUGUUGGCUGAUCCCCUUAGUGCUUCUAGGGCACUUGAGGUCAUCUUAUGUCCAGAGGAGUGCUACUGUGGCAUGUCACUGAGCGGGACUGUCGGUACUCUCCUCAUCACCUUGGACAGACUUGACAAUAACUCCCUGUGUGUUAAGCACUGUGCAGCUCCCUCAGAGUAGAUUGUUAUCACUCCUCACAGCAGCCUCUGCUGGUGGGAAUUCAUGUACCCAUUUCACAGGUAAGUGUAGGAGAAAUGAAGUGACUUGCUGAUGGGUUAAAUAAUUUCUGUCUGCCUAAGCUGAAAAAACUCAAUCUCCUUCUCUCCCUGUUUAUAGAAAUCCCUGUGGCCAUUCAUUUACACCAGUGUUAUCAGAGAUUCCCAGGCCGUCAGUUCAAUGGUCUGAGCUGAAUGAGUACAGGAAUUAGUCAGUGUGAAAACAGAUUGCCACAGCUUUACAAGAAAGGCAGAGAAGCCAAAGUACAUUGGACAAAUUGGAAGUGAAAAGCUGAAGUAAAAAUAUUCAGUUUAAGACCAUGCGUUGGUACUGACAUGAGGUCUAUGGAAAAUGAGGGAGCCAGCAUCGAGUUUCUGGAAUAUGCAAUUUUACAAUGGGAACGUGUUAUAAAAUGUUCAGCCACUGUUGUUUGCCUUGGAAUUUAGGGUGAGAGACAUGAAGGCUGACAACUCUCUUCCUGUUGUAGGUCAGGGCUUCAAGGAACUCUGUAAUCUUCCCACCAGCUUUACUCUCUCCUGGAACUCAUGGGUAAAAUUAGAUGCUGGCUGGACUUCAGUAGUUGAAUUUGAAGGCUUUCAGAAGCCAAGUCAGACAACUGCAGCGGCUGCUCUCUCACAGUCCCACGUCGAGAGAUACUCCACAGACUGACACAGUUUAGUAAACCGAUAAGUGUCCUGACACUGCAUAAAAACAUUCCAUUACCCACAGGAGUGGAAGGAGGUUACCUUCCUAUGGGUAACCUCAGAAACGGGGGCAGACUUGGUAAUCUUUUACCAACAAACUGCAUUCACAUCUCUCUGUUGCUCCCCAAAUGUGAUCUGUAUACUAACCUAAAAAAACAGACACCCCAUGUGAAGAUUCCGUUGGAAUUGUUUUAUAUACAUUUGAAUGGACUCUGAGAGGCAGACAUGGUGAAACGGGUGUGGGAAGAGACCGUUGAGUGAGUGAGUGUGCUCUGCUCCCAAACUAGCAUCGAACACAUUUAUCUAAUUUGACACAUUUUGCCUGGAAGUCACAGGAAUAGACUGAGGACCCCACCCCCACUGCCCUUACCCCCGUCAGAAUAUAAAGAGCCAGAGACUAAAACCAGACUAAAAAGGGCUAACCCAUUAGGGAAGUACCUCCCUGGGGAGCGGGUGGGCAGGGGGAGGAGGUUAGAUGGCAAUUAUUAAACACUGAAUCAGGAAUCUGCUCUGAAAAGCUGCUGCCCCGGGAUGCCUUUCUUCCCAGACUGAGGACUGAGCUGGCCAGAAGCAGGAGCUCUGCUUAUUCUCCGCUGCAGGAUGCUACCCCUUGACCCUUUAUAAGGCAGCCUUGCUUGAUUACUCCUUUUAAUUCCAGGCUCAAAACAGCUUGUAAAAUUGUGUUGUUUUUUUUCUUUUUAUCAUUCCUCCCCCAGAUUGUGUGGGCCACACUGUAGCAAGAUUUCCCCUCUGUCCACAUCUGUUUUCCAACCUCAUUACUCUUCCGUUAUUACGUUCAUUAAAAAAAAAAAAAGCUGUUUAUUUCUUCUCUGCAUGUUUUUCCCCUGAGUUUCAAAACCUAAAAUGGUAACUGAUGUGCUAUUUGAUGUGACCAUCUUCAUGCUCUCUAGUCUCCAUGCUGAUCCUUGAAUACAUACACGGGAAUAGAUUGAACCUUGUUGUUUAAAUUAGCUUGCCUGAGUCAGGGCUUACAACUGGGCUGGAGCUUGUCAAGGCUUCUCCUUCUAAAAUCUGGGCACAGAGGUUCACGCUCAAUAACCCUCGCACCUGGGAGGCUGAGACAGGAGGAUCAGAACUGCUUGGGCUACAAAGAGAGUUCUAAGGCUAGCUUGAACUACAUGAGCACGUCCCUCAAACAAAACAACCAGCUUCUCAUUAUGUCUUCGAAUGUGUUUUUUCUGAGGCACCCAGAGAUGGCACACUACUGGUGUGUAGUCAGCUUGACUCCUCAGCGCUUCAGUUUGAGUGUAACCAUUCAAAGUUAGAAGACAGGAGGCAGAGCCUUAGUGUUCAGGGUGGACUUUGUUUUGGUUUUAUGAAGCAAGAGGUGUUUUUGUUUUUUAGGGGGGUUGUUUUGUCAGGCUUUCAAGACAUAGUUUCUCUCAACUGUUUGCCUCUGCCUCCUGAGUGCUAAUAUUAAAUGUGUGUGCCACCACCUAUCAUGUGAGGUUUCUUUUCUGAAGAGAAAUGAAAUGAAGGUGUCCAUUCAUACCAUUUCUAUGCAAGCCAUACAGUAAAUAUAUUGAGAAUAGGAGAUAAGAAAUGGGGAGAGACAAAGCCAGGCAUGGUUUGAAUCCCAGCCCUCAGGAAGCAGAAGCAGGCAGAUCUCUGUGAGUUUUGGGCCAGCCAUGGCUGCAAAGUGAGAGUCUCAAAAAGAAAACAAAAGACAAACAAAAUAAAUCAAAGGGCAAAGCUGAACUCAUCUUUCUGCCUUGGCCUUUCAAGAACUGGAAUGAAGUUCUUUCAAGGUGGGCACCGCCACACCAGGCGGCAGCUGGCCUAUAUGUAGCUCCUGCUUAGACCAUCCAGGAGAAUACAGACUGGGCGAGUAGCACAGCCGCUGAGCACAUGCAGCCUGGUCUCAGUCUGUCCCUAACAUGGCAGUGAUAAAUAAAAGGAUAAACCCAAUAGCAUAAUUCAACAGUUACUGCCGUUUUUCCACAGAACAGAUGAUAAUCCUAUAGUAAGGGACGAGACAAGACCCAGUUUGCAAGUGUAAUCAAAGCCAUAAGGAGAUUGUAGUCUCUGACUUGUUUGUAAUGCUGGGAAUGGAACCCGGGGCCUUGGGCAUGCUAGACAAAAGCCGUAAAAAGGCUUUCAGUUAGAAUUCUGGCCAGAAACCAGUAGCAAACACAAAAGUAUACUUCAGAGUGUUGCCAGACCUUAGUUAGUGGCCUAUGGAAACCAAGAGGUCUCACCACCCCUGGGCCUGAACUGCUGGGGGCAGUUAUCAGAAUUUAACAUAGUGAGAGCCACAGCCACGGCUGCUAACUUCCACACAGAGAUGAGGAGCCAGGGAAAGUUGCCUUAGCUGCUUUCUCCCUUGUCCUUCGUUCCCUCCCACUAACUUCCUGGAAAGGGCCCUGCUGAUGCUGCCCAGCCUCUCAGAGGAAGGAAAGAAAAGCAGCAGGUGGGCCUAGAAGAGCAGCAAGUGCAGCUUCACACAGUCUCUCCCUGGAACCUACUUAGAAAGCUGCAGGAGGCUGCUCUUGGUUACAAAGAAGUCAUAGCAGCAAUAUGCAGAAGCUUGACAUAGGAGAGGUCCACAGGUCAGUGCUGAAAGAUGCGCUGUCCGACUGCUGUCCGACACAUCGUGCUGAGACAAGACAAGAUGUUGUCUCCCUAGGAGAAUAUUAGGGCAACAAAUACUUAAAACUGAUGGCCAGGAAUUGACAAAGACACGGGAAGCACACCCCGUCAUUGAUACAAAGAUGACCAGAUGGCAUGGAUUCGAACCACAUAUUUCUCCAUUCGCACAGGGGAGAUAAGGGCAGAGUUUGCAUAAGGUUAUUAAGAAUGUUCAGUGAAUUAAGAUGCAUGGAGUACUUAGAGUAGUAGUUGCCAUUCUACCCCGCACGUAUAACCUGGAGAGAGUCUGCCCCGCACAUAUAAGCUGGAGAGAGAGUCUGCCCCGCACGUAUAAGCUGGAGAGAGAGCUGGUUCAGGUAUAAAGAAGAUCCUCCAAACUUGUUCAUCACAGGUAGACAAAGGUAGAUUAGACAUCGUGGUAUUUCCGUUGUACAGCAGGAAAUGAGUGAAUGGAGUGUGGGCUGAAGGUGUAUCUGUGUCGGUAGAGUACCUGUCUAGCAUACACAAGGCCAGGAGCUUGAUCCCCAGCAUGACAUAAAACCUGAUGUGUUGUCACUUGCCUGUAAUAGGACUCCAGAAGUAAUAGGAUCAGAAUUCAAGGUCAUCCUAGACUACAUGGUAAGUUCUAGGCUGUGACUGAAAGGAAAGAAAUCAAAACUCAAAAAUAAGGAAGGAAAUAGAUGAACUAGACCUUGUGUGUAGUAGAAUAAGCAAACCUUUAAAAUUUGUGAAAAAUAUCAAAACACUGCAGAAUAUUAAUAAUAGUCUAGUAGGAAGGCAGGGAAGGGGCACAGUUUUGUACUGUAUGUGUAAUACUUCAUUUCAUUUAAUUUUAGAAUAUUUUUAAAAAUAUGAGCCACAAAUAGAGAAAGCUAUGCAAUUAUUUAUGGUCAGGCCUUUGCAAUACAAAGGAAUUGUGUGUGUGUGUGUGUGUGUGUGUGUGUGUGUGUGUGUGUAUGUGUGUGUGUGUGUGUUUGUUGCCUUGAGGAUUCCUCUGGGACUGGAAUAAAAGAGGGCUAUGAACUGUCAUGUGGGUGCUGGGAGUUGAACCUGAGUCCUAGAAAACAGCCAGGGCUCUUAACCACUGAGCCAUCUCUCCAGCUCCUGAGAGAUAGGAGUGAUAGAGACUACCAUGUAAAGAGAGCGUGGUCUUUGAACAAAUAGGCAGCCCUCGAUGGAGCUCCACUCUUUAUUGGUGUGAUUGUGCAUUUGCUAGAUAGACUUACAAGGUGUUUAUACUUUUUGAUUGGUUAUUUUCUUUAUCUACAUUUCAAAUGUUAUCCCUUCCUGGUUUCCCCUCCACAAACCCCCAGCCCAUCCCCUCUUCCCCUGCUUCUAUGAGGGUGCUCCCCUGCCCACUGUCCCACCCACUCCCACCUCACCACGCUAGCAUAGCCCUACACUGGGACAUCAAGCCUCCACAGGACCAAGGGCUUCUCCUCCCAUUGAUGCCACAUAAGACCAUCCUCUGCUACCUAUGCAGCUGGAGCCAUGGGUCCCUCCAUGUAUACUCUUUGGUUUGGUGGUUUAGUCCCUGGGAACUCUUGGUGGCGGCGGGUGUGUGUGUGUGUGUGUGUCCGAUUGGUUGAUAUUGUCGUUCUUCCUAUGGGAUUGCAAACCCCUUCAGCUCCUUCAAUCCUUCCCCUUAUUCCUCCAUUGGGGUCCCUGUGCUCAGUCGGAUGGUUGGCUGGGAGCAUCCGCAUCUGUUGGUCAGCUGUACUUAAUUGUAGAUUUAUUCAUUGUUUUUUAUAAGUACAUAUGGGUCUGCAUGUGUGUGUGCCAUAGCAUGUGUAGAGGUCAGAGAGCAUCUUGUAGGAGUUGAUUCUCCUCUUCCACCUGUGGGCUCUAAUACUCAGGCUGUCAGGCUUGGCAGUAAGAACCUUUGCCCAGUGAGCCAUCUCAAUGGUUCAGGUCUCUGUUUCUUAAUAUUAGGUACCUCACUGGGACAUUUGAAGAUUAGCUGAGGUGAUGCAAAUCACCAAAGGAAACAGACACUUAGCAAUUGUUUCAUUCCUUUCCUCCUUGAACAUGGGAGUAGCAGGACCAGUCAACAUUUCCUUAAUGCAAUAGCAUGGAUGUCUGUGUGGCUGGAUGCAGGUUGACUUUAUGUGAGGAUUACUGAUCCAUGCCUAAAUUUAGUUCAGGUUCAUUUGAUAAAGAAAUGGAUUUCAGGGGCUCUGAAUGGAGGCCCAGUGAGUGAAAGGCUUCAGUUCCAAUCCCAGUGCCCAUGAAGGCAGCCAGUUGUGGCCAUUUGUAUGUGACCCUUAUAAGACAAAAGGAUGUCUGGGGCUGGCUAACCACAUCUCACUUCAGGUUCAUCAUUCCCUAGCAAGUUGUAUACUUCCCUGAUUUGGUUACAGUGUUGCUGGUGCCUCUGUGUGUAAAGUCUUAAGUAUCUAUGGUCUGUUCCUUCGUCCUCACAGAUCUCCAUUCUAAGCACUUGUAAACAUACACCUUCACUUGCUAACUUGUGCUUUUUCCUCUGUGAAGGCCAAGCCUGCAUCUUGUGGAAGCUUUCAGAGGCUCACUAAAGCAGUGUUUGAUUACUGUUUGUCCAUUAGUGAACAAAGAAGUGACCUGUGAGUGGGUAUUUGAAAAGAGUGGUCUCGUCCAUACUGACUUCUCAAACAGGGACGUUCUCCUGAGCAAUUUCAUUUGCACAAAGGGUUGGAGAAUUAGUUUCCAGGGGAAAGUGUGAGAAGCGCCCUGGGCCUGAAUGAUUUAACAUUACACCUAGGACGGCAUCCGAGAAGCAGUAUCUAAGGGAGGAGAGAUGAAACAGGAAGCUUAGGAAAAUGUCCUGUCCACGUCCCUGGGGCUUACCCAGCCGACCUCACAUGCAGAUGCUGUCCUUUGGCUGCUACAGGGAGGUAACUCAGUGCCAUUGCACCUUCUGCUGUGCAGCCCAUCCGUGCCGUGUUAGAAAUUUUCGGUAAUCUAAGCCUAUUUAGUCUGUUUUCUCCCACUCUGUAAACACCCUUUUUCCAUAGUUGCAAAUGUCUCCACUAUUAUUUGUUUCAAUUUGUAAAUUGCGAGAAGGGCCAGAAUAAACAAUGUUCUCACACGCACACUCCUGCACAGCUAAAAUGACCUGCCAGAGACUCGCAAGGGGCUCCAACCCUCUGUGCCUUCUUUAUAGAGCCAGAAUUAACAAAAGCAGGGGCCUUGCCUUCUUGUCCCCUUUCAACAAAGGCAGGAAGACUGAUUUUUCCAUUGCCACAGUGGGUGGUGAUGCCAAGGAAAUAAACAGUGAUUGUCUGACCACAGACAGACAUGUCCAGACCCCACCAGCUGCAGUGACCAUGGCUUCUGUACCACAGUUCCUGCAUUGACUACAGUUGAUGGGAAAGCAAGUGACUUACUGAAUGGCAUGUCACUGAAAGGCAUGAUCAUUGUCAGGAAGCAUGAGAUGACCGUAGGCUUACAGUUGGAUUAGAACUCAAGGGAAGGUGGCAAGGAAGUGAUACAUGGAAUUUUCCAGAACAAAAUUGAGAAGGAUUAUGCAAGAAAGAGAUAGUUGACCUGAAACCUGACCAUAGGAUGAAAGACUCUGCUCUCUGCUGGUUCUCCUUCUCUGUGUGGGAGACCCUGUCCUACAUAGGCAUGCCUGUGCUUAAAGCUAGUUGGAAGUCCACACCCGACUCCCACCAAGCCAAAAUGUAGGCCAUGGAGCUCUUGAAUACUUAAUGUCAUGGCCUAUAUUUUGUGCCUUGUAGACGUCACUCAGGCUUUGGUGUGUUGUCACUGGCUACAGAUUCAAUGUCUUCAGUUAUAUUUAACCUUGCAUUCCUUUUAUACCUCAACCUCCUUCCACCCUUGGCUAUUUUGUAUUUGUAAUUCGUUCAUUCAUCCAUUCAUUCAUUCAUCCAUCCAUUCAUUCAUCCAUCCAUUCAUUCAUCCAUUCAUUCAUCCAUUCAUCCAUUCAUUCAUUCAUCCACUCAUUCAUUCUUCAUUCUCUUAUAAGCUGAAGAUUCUCUUAGCUGCCCAAGCAUGAGGACUUGAGUUCAGGUCCCCAGCGCCCACGUAAGAAGCUGCAGGUGGCAGUGCACACCUGUGGUCCCAAUGCUGAGAUGGAAUGGCAGGGAACUUCCAGCAGCUCGUUUGCUGGCCAGUGAGAAGCCCUCUCUCUAAAGACAAAGUGUAGGGCACAGAAGACUCUCAUCAAUUUUCUGCCCAUCUGAACCUAACUCCCCAUUACCCCCGCCCCACUCCCUCAGUCCUAGCAUUCACAGUCUGCUUCAUAAUUCUUUGGAUGUAACUAGAUCCCAUAUAGAAGUGGAAUCAAAAUGCUGGCUUUUUGUGACUGGCUUAGUUCACUUUGUAUAGCGUCCUUUGGGUUCAUUCAUUCCUGCUAUACUUCUUGGCAGGGUUUCCCUCUCGGGGUGACUAGUACUUCACAGUGUGCCUAUCACUUAGGCACUAGGUGGGUUCUGUAUCUUGGCUACAGUGAGUAGCACCACUGUGUGUGAGUGUGCAGUUUCCCUCUGAAAUUCCAUUUCAGUUCUUUCAGCUAUUUGCCCAGUAGUAGGCUUGCACUGGAUUAUAUGGUAGCCCUAUGGUUUUGAUGCUGUUUUCCAUAGGACCUGCCCUGGAAGUAUUUUCCAUUCUUAACAACAGCCCAUAAGGGUUUCACUUUCUCUAAUAUGCACGAGUACUUUCUGAUUCCUGGGUUUUGCUUGUUUAUAUUUUGAUAUUGGUGGGAAAUGGUACAUCUUUGUGGUUUUAACUUGUAUUUCCCUGAUAAUUAGUAUUUAGUGUCUUUUUAUAUUCCCAUUGCCCAUUUAUUUAUAUUCUUCAUGUAAAUAUCUUUUUGAGUCUCUCAGACUGAAUCUCAUGUAGUCCAGGCUGACCUCAAACUUGCUGUGUAAUGAGGUUCCUGGCCUUAAGUUCUGGACCCUCCCGCCUCCGUUUCCCCAGUGCUGGGAUUGCAGAUGCUCACCCAUGCUCACCCAUGCUCACCCAUGCUCACCCAUGCUCACCCACACCAGCCCACUGGAAUCCCUUGCUUUUUCAUAGUUAUUUGGAAGUGGGUUGUGCUGAUCAAUGGUCAGUACUACUAGAUUCUGUACCCUGAGCUCGUCAUUGUCCUUGGAGCUUGAAGUGUUUCCUCACACCCCACGGGGGGUUCACUCCUCAGCUGCAUGGCUUUUGAAUGUCAUGUGACCCAUUUUCUAUUUUUCUCUAGUUAGCCAUGCUUUUGAUGUCAUAUUUCAGAAGACAUCAGAGAUCCUAUAAUAGAAAGCUUCUCUUCUGGGAAGUUUCUAGUCAGUCUAUGUUUCAAAUUUACUAUCUACCUUUCAUCCAUUUUAGGAUGGUUUUUGCCCAUGGUGUAGGGAAAGCCUCAAAUGUACCCAAACUGUUGGUGAAAGAGAUCCUCUUCAGACUGGUUUUUAAAAGAAAACUAAAAUAUCUUUCUUUUUUCUGUAGUAAAUUACUGUAAAUGUCCUGCUUUAUACAGAGACAGUUGAUGAAUGUGUGGCCAAAAAUGAAAUGUCUUUUUGGGCAACUGGAAGCACUAGGCUAUUGUGUCAACCGUGUAAGCUGCUCGUUGUUUUUGCUACUAGUUAUGCCUAGAGCACUGUACAUCAGCAUUUGGGACGCUCCUGUUAGAGUGAAAACCAUGUCUGUCUCUGCAGACAGGAUGCAUUCUGACAGAACCUUCAGUCGUGUAAUAGUAUCUCUUGUUCUCUGUGGCUUCUCUUAAGAUUUGUCUCUAAUCUGUUAUUUCUCAUUCUGCCGGCAUGCCGUGGCACUGUCUUAUUUAUGUGUUGAUAAAUAACAUAACUUUUUCAACUUGUUGAAUUUGUUUUUGAGUAUAAUUUUCAUCGAGUUUUACAUUCGUAUGGCUAUUUUUUUCAAAUAUUGUUCGUACUUAACACUUUUCCAAAGAAUCCAGUUUCAUGGCUCAGGCUGCUGGCACCAUCUCUGGGACUGCCAUUCCUCCUGCCUGUCUGCAUUUGUUGGUGGGCUGGUCUCCGUCUCUGUGAUUCUCUUGGCUUGUGUCUGUUACAGUGCUUUAUGUCUGUAGGUUGCUACCGUGCUUAGUCAGUUAUUGACUCGGCAGUGAACCCUUCAUGUUAAGGCUUUAUAGCUCCUAUGUAUCUUCACUGUGCUCUUGUAAACAAACAUCUGAACAUGUGUGAAAUACUAUUAGAACCUCAUAUCAUGGGAAUUCUAUAGCAGACAUUAUAUAUAAUGAAGAAAUUUUGAAGAAUUUAAAUGAGGAAAAUUUGAAUAGUUUCUCUAUAGUCAAGAAAUAAUAUUCAUCAUCACUCCUUCCUCCCUCCCUUCCUCCCUCCCUUCUUUCCUUCCUUGUUUCCUUCCUUCCUUCCUCCCUCCCUCCCUCCCUCCGUCCCUUCCUUCCUUGUGUCCUUCCUUCCUUCUUUUGUUUCUUUUUUGAGAUAGAGUUUCUGUGUGUAGCCCUGGCUGGCAGGAACUUGCUCUGUAGACCAGGCUGGCCUGAAACUCUGAGAUACCUGCCUCUGCCUCCCGAGUGCUCAGAUGAAAGGUGUGAGCCACAGCUGCUGGGCUACCACUUUUUUAUACUUUUUCAUAGUUAUUUGGGAGUGGGUUGUGCUGAUCAGUGGUCAGAUUUAUUCUUAUGGGUAUGGGUAUUUUUCCUGCACAUAUGUGUGUGCCCUAUGUGAGUGCCUGGUGCCCACAGAGGCCGGAAGAGAGUAUUGGGUACCCUGGAACUAGACUUACUUAUAGACCAUUGUGAGCUGUCAUGGGAGUGCUAGAAAUGAAACCCCUGGUCCUCUGGAAGAGCAGCCAGUGCUCUUAACAACUAAGCCACCUCUUCAGCCUCCCCAUCUCACCUGUCAUGUGCUGGAUGUUCUAACAGUACAGGGAGACAAAGGCAUUACACCUGGCAGAGAGGAAGUGAAGCUGUUUUUAUACAUGGAUAACACUUUACCUAAACAGACGAUCUUACGGAACAUAUACUUAAAAGUUAUUAUAACUAAUAAAACGUAUCAAGGGUAUCUAUAUGAUAUCAGUCAUCUGAAAUAGAAAUUUAAAAGCAGUUCCAUUUCUGAUAGCAUAUAUAACUGGGGACUUUAAGUAUAAAGAACAAAAAAUUCAUCACAGAUAUUACACCUAUGCAUAAUAUAUGUGUACAGACAAAAUGCUCAAACACAUAAAAUAAAAAUAAAACUCAAAAAAGAACAAUCUGUGAAGUUCUCAAAACUUACCAGCAGGUGUGUUCCCACCCCUGAUUUUAUUUUGAAUGGAACCUUCAGGAGGUUGUCCAGUCAGGCCUCAAGCUCAGACCUUCUUUAGCAUCCGCUUCUUGAGUGGCUGGAAUUACAGGUGUGCACCAUCACACUCCACUAGGAAUGAGGCUCUCACACAAGCCACUGCAUGGAUGAACUUUGUAAACACCUGUGUCUCCUCCUCCUCCUCCUCCUCCUCCUCCUCCUCCUCCUCCUCCUCCUCCUCCUCCUCCUCUUCCUCCUCCUCCUCCUCCUCCUCCUCAUCAUCAUCAUCAUCAUAUUAUUAUUAUUAUCAUUACUAUUAUUAUUAUCAUUAUUAUUAAUUAUUAUUAUCAUCAUUAUUAUUACUAUUAUCAUUAUUAUCAUUAUUUGAUCACAGAGGGCUCUGUGUUACUCAGUUCCAUCUUCAUGAGACAUACCAGAUGCGAAGUUGAUAGAGAAACAAAGGAUGAGAGAUCGGUCGUUGCCCCCAGCUGGGGGAACAGGGAGGGAGGAAGUGCCAGUGGAGGAGUAUGGCGCUCCUUAGGGAAUGUUCAGAGGUAGAUUACAAUAAUGUUUGUUCAAUUCUAAAAAUGCUCGAACACCAUUGAAUUAUAUCUUUUAAAUCGGUGGUUCUCAAGUUUCUCAAUGCCGCAGCUCUUUAAUGCAGCUCCUCAUGCUGUGGUCACCCCAACCAUUUUGUUGCUACUUCACAACUGUAAUCUUGCUGCCGUUGUGGAUUGUAGUGUAAAUAUCUGAUGUGCAAGAUAUCUGAUGUACAAACCCAAAAGAGUUGUGUCUCACCAGUUGAGAACUGCUACUUUAAAUAGAUUAACUGUGUAAUAGAUAAGGUAUGUCUUAGGAAGUCUGGAGUCUAAGGUAGCACACCUGGGGAGUCUGGGGGGAGGGGUUUUAAGGUUGCGUAAUAAAAGCUAUUGCUAUCUUCUUCCCUGAUGCUUUGUGUGUGUGGAUGUGAAUGUGUAAGGAGUUCUGACUCCUUUUAGUUGGCUUCUUUCUGAAGAUGCUUCUGCACAGCCUUGGCAACUGAGACAUGCACAAAUGGCUUCGUGUUUUGCAGCAUCUCUCCCAGGAGGAGCUUUAGCAGAGGUUAUUCUUAGGAACAGCUGUUUCUAAUUGUGGUGUGGCCUGUAUCUGUUUAUUAGUGCCCAUCACUGCCACCAGGAUGAGCAUGCAUUAUGUUCAGUCCUAAUCCUGGAGCACACAGCCUUGUUCAGUCUGUCCUGGUGUAGACCACAAGCCAUGCUUAAAGCCAUCAGGCCUCCAUGGUGAGGUGGCACUGGUCCCUUCUGCUUGAGUUUUGAAGAAGAAAAAAAGAACCAGGCAGGUCACCACAAGCCAAGUUGGGCUUGGCUGUUCCAGCUUCCUGGCUGGCUGUGGCAGGGCAAGACCACUAAGCCUCCUUUGGCUCAAGUCCUCCCUCUGUCUCCCUCCCCACACUCACUCUUUAUUUAGUGUGGCUGUAGCGCUUGAGUACUUCACUUUAGUGAAAUGUUCAUCUCUGGUAAUUCACUCUCCACUGUCAGCAGAACUCAAGAAACACUCUGGCUUAACAAAGAGUAAGCUGUGAGGGACCUCAGAACCCUUUCAGUCCAAACCCUUGGUGCAAACCUCUUUGCACGUCAGAUUUACCCAGCACAUUAAGGGAAAACUGAGCUUGGUGCUGUUAAUUCUGGCUCUGUCUUCUGCCGCUUUGCCUCCCCACCACUGAGUGAAUAAGCAGCGCUCAUGCACUGUAUCUUAAUAGACCUCUUGAGGAUCAGAUCCUGUGCCUUGCACAUGCUAAGCACCUACCACCUCGAGAAAAGGUACACACUCUCUUAAGAAGCAGAAUUUGGGACUGGGGAUUUGGUGGAGUGCUUGCCUUGUUCACAUAAAGUACUAAACUGAGUGCCUAGCACCACAUAAAAGCAUGUGUGGGUUGGCACAGGCUUGGAAUUCUAGCACUUGGAAUGUGGAGACAAGAGGGUCAGGAGGUUUUGAUUGUCUUGGGUACAUAGUGAGUUCAAGACUGCCCUGGGCUACAUGAGACCUCAUCUAAAAGUGGACAUGUGCCAGCCACUUGCAAGUGUCCCUGAAAGUACGGAUAGGAGUAGUGCCCCUCAUAGGCAGUUAUGUUCCUUGUGCCCCGGCUAUUUGGGUACCAUUGACUGUUACCAGGGAGUGACCAGAUUUGUCUCUGGAAGGGAGCAUGAGGUUUUAGUCUGAUGUUGUACAUGCUCAAGUCACAGCUCUGCCACUUAGAGAUUUUCUGUCUUGCCAGGUCUUUGUGACAGGAAGGGAUGCUGGUGCUUUGAAAACCAGUGGUUUAUGGUUUGAUGAACCGAUGGCUAUACAAGCUUCUUGUUGCUUGAAAUGAAAGGCUUGUUCACAUGGAGACGUACGUGUGUGUGUGUGUGUGUGUGUGUGUGUGUGUGUGUGUGUGUGUGUGUGUUUGCAAACGCAUGUGUGCGUGCAUGCCUGCGUGUGCACCCAGCAAGAGAGGGGUCCCUCCAAGUACAGAUGAAUUCUUAAAUGGACAGUGCCAGAGCAAAUGGGCCUACCAGACUCAUUCCUGUGGGCAUCAAAGACGGAGCUGAAGUUUUUCUGAGGGUAUUCCCAACUCAUUGGCUUAUUUGAUUCCAAUGUUUUCUCAGCUUUUAAAAUAUUAAAGACCAAGUAGCAAAAAAGAGAAAAUAGACAUAUGAUAGUGUAGAGUAAAAAAAUCAUCAACCCACCUCUCCAGUCCCCCCCUAUAUUUAAUCACUGUUACAUUUUUACAUUAAAAGGACAUCCAUAUAUAUAUAUAUAUAUAUAUAUAUAUAUAUAUAUAUAUAUGUAUAUAUCCUCGCUUUACUUUGUUUUUGUUUGUUUUUUUGAGACCAAGAGUCUCACACUCAGGCUGAUCUGGCACUCACUCUAUAGUCCAGACUAGCCUCAAACCCUUGGUGAUCCUCUUACCUCAGUUCCCUGAAUGUUGGGAGUAUUGACUUGAACCACCCACCAUGCCUUGGGAACACCAUAUCAGAGGGGGGGGAGGGGGAGGGAGAGGGAGAGUGUAAGAUUUUUCUUAUUUUUAAAGAUACCGUCAUUUUUCAAGAUUCACUUAGUAGCACAUCUUGUUGAAUACACAAAGUGCUCAGUUUUUUGUUUUUAUAAUAGUGCUAAAUGGGUGUCAUUAUACCCACAGCUUGUCAAAUGCAUCAUUCUUUAAGUCUGAGUAUUUGUGUUAUUCAUAACACAUUUGUAAACAGCCAGGCACUUCUAUAGUUCUUAGCAACAGAAUCCACAAGGCAUAAGGUAUGUGACCACAACAUGGUUUCUGUAAUUUCACGUAACAUCAGUUUCCCAUCAGAUACUAGAUAUUAGCUGCAUUAAUUUAUACUCCUCUGACCAGUAGGCUGUGGUGCUUUUAAUCACUGAGCUAUCCCUCUAGCCCCUGCCUAUUUUUUUGUGGGUUUAUUGGUCUUAAAUUGAUUUGAAGGAAUUCUCUUCAGAUUGGCUUUACUCUACAUAAUUACAUUCACUCUAGUUGGUCACUAUCCUUGAGCACAUUUCUAAGAUUUUUGCCACAGAACAUUUUAAAUUUUCAGUAACUUUAACAGUUUCUGGGACUGCCUCACAUUUGGAAUGACUUUCUCCAGUUCUCUGCUGUUGAAAAAUUGCUUUCCUGUGCACUUCUCCUUCCCUCUUCCUUUGUAUGUGAACCUUGCACAUGUAGUGGAGAGUCAAAGACUCCUUUCUGACAGCCAGCCUCUCUCCAACUCAGGCUAGGGAAAGAAACAUUAAAUUGAAUUUCAAAGUCUUCACUGAUGAAACACACACACACACACACACACACACACACACACACACACACACACACACACACCAAGCUCUGCCUCUUCAAUUUCUGAACAUAGCAUAUAAGAUCCCACAAGUUGGUAUCUGAGAAUGUGCUUUUAAUGUCUAGUGCGUAACUUGGAACCAUUUUUUAGUGAACACAUUCACACAUGAUUUUGUUAUUUUUUGCCAUAAUUGAUCUCAGGUUUGAGGUAAAAUCUGUCUCUAGAAAAAAACAAAUCCGUUCAAAUGUUGGCUCUCUCUGUUGUUUUCAUAGAACUCCUUUAUCAAUAAGAGGGUUUCCUGAGCCUUGGGUGGGAGCUGAAGAAUGAGGAGCAAAUGAGCCCAGAGAGACUUUCCCUGAGAGCUGACCCUUCUUCAGAGUUGGACAAAGUCAGGAAAAGUGGGCGGGCCAUUUGGAAACUAUUCAGGAUCAGAGAGCCCAGUUUGUUUUUAUUUUGCUGUAAGAGUUCAAAGGCAGAAUCUUGGGAAGUUGGUCACUCUGAGAUGGGACUUCCUGUGUCAAGGAGGGAACAUUCUACAGCUUGACUUGUGGGGAUUUCAAAGAUGGCUUGAACACCCAAGCUAAACACUGCAUUUGGUUUGGCCCUUAUAGAUAAAUAUCAGAAUGCAAGGAUGGGUAUGGUGUGAUAUACCCAGGAUUCAGCACUUCUAAGGCUGAGGCAGAAAGAUCACAAGCCAACCUGAGCUACAUGGGAAGACCCUGUUUCAAGAAAGAAAAAUAUAAACUAAUUAACUAGAGAAGGAGGCAGUCAUAACACAGGAGAUCAGGGACCGGCCCCUUUACAAGUCUUUCAGCUCUCACUUGGGGAGCAUUAUUCAUAUCCAUUGAUCAUUCAGAUCAAUGAGUUGUUCAUUACAUCAUGUCUUUAUCUGCCAAAAAUGUGCAUUUUAAGCAUUUGACUGAGUUAAACAAUUGCCUUCCACACUCCCUUCUUUAUUAGGGUCUCCAACCCUGAUUAGCCUCAGACUCACUAUGCAGCUAAGCAUAACCUUGAAUUUUUGAUCCACCUACCUCCAACUUGAAAGACCUGGUAUUAAGACCAGUGUCACCAUGCCCAGCUGGAUGUGUCAUGAGUGAUUGGACAUGUAGUCUGCCAACCAGACUACACCCAAGUGUCUGUGUGGAAACAAUACUGCAGUGUGAGAAUUAUUUUGGUGCACUCUGCUCUGUUGUGUAUUAGGAUCCCUUGGGCAACCAGGACAUUCGAUGGUUUCCUAUUUCCUUAACAGAGUUUACUGUUCCAUUUACACCUUAAUACAACUGAGAUAAUUCAUCCUGGAAAAGUAUUAUUAAGACCAAAGUCUCAGUUUCCAAUAAUUCAUCCGCCAAACACUUCACCCACCCUAUGCUAGGCACACUGUAGCUGUACUUCAGACACACCAGAAGAGGGCAUCAGAUCCCAUUACAGAUGGUUGUGAGCUGCCAUGUGGUUGCUGGGAUUUGAACUCAGGACCUCUGGAAGAGCAGCAGUCAGUGCUCUUAACCACUGAGCCAUCUCUCCAGCCUGCUAGGACUUUUCAGUGAUUUAUUUUCACAGUCCCACUGUUCCUCCUUGGGAGGUGAUGGCGUGAGUAAGGGAUAGCCGGAUGAAUUUAGAGGACACCUGUGUUCAGAUGUUGUCUCAGAAGUAAGAAGUCAGUGUGGUUUCCCGCAGCUUUAACUGGGAUCCUCAUGGAGUGCUGCCACUCCCCUUUGAGCUCUGCAGUUACAGUGCCAGCCAGAGCUGCACUUUCCUGUUCAGGCUUCCCUCUCACAGGCUCUUCACAGCCUGUCGUGUUCACUUGCCCCCAAGGCCAUGGUGAUGGUUGCAGCCUUAAGAGAAUAGUCCAUCUGUCUGGGACUCAGUCCCCAGGGAGGAACUCUGCCUGGCCAGGCCUCACAGGGACCCAGAGCCUGUUCUGAGGAAAGCAGGAACUUUCCUAGUCCUGAGUUCUUUGCUAAAUGGAGUGUGAGAAGUUUUAAAGCAGUUGUCACCAAGCCCUCUGCAGGCUAUGGGACUUCCUGUUCCCAAAGCUCUGCUACCCUGAGUUCCUGUCUCCAUUGAUGUGCUGUGGACCUGUAGCUGGCACUGACUUCAGGGCACCUUCUGCCACCUCCUGAUCCAAACCAAUUGUCCUGGUUCACAGGGAAAUGGAUGUUAGUUAGCACUGAUCGAGCCAGUUAGGCUCCUUGAUUCGCCUACCCUCCUAGCAAAUGCUAAAACCUAAAAUGCAGAAGAGGUAGCAGAAACAGAUGUUACUGUUCAGUGCAAGCCAGAGGUGCACAUGACAGGACAGUGACACCUUCUCACACUGGGAGACCCUUGUCUCCCCAGGUGUGUUCAGCAGGUAUCAAUUAAGCUUCCUUGACCCUGAAGUAAAGCCCUGAAAACUUGGUUCACUUACUCAUGAACUCUAGACCAGACUGAGGGAUCACGCAGGGAAAAUGUUUACUUCUCUAAUUAAGCAGAAUUAAGGUCUGAGCUUGGAACUGUCUUGGGCUAUGCUAGGUAUAAUUGAGAUGCAUGGGCUUUGUGUAAAUAAUGUAUCUCUAAUUGGCUUUGAUUAAGUGCAAAUUAGGAUCACACUUCACUCCUGUGUGAUUUACAUUCCUAAGCCCUUUUACAAACUGAAGUACCCUGGGUGGCCGAUAAGGUUUGUUUAUCCGGGAGUUGAGGCUAGAGCUGGGAUCUGCAGUUUCCCAAAGGUAGAGAGAGUCUGGAGCUGACACUCUUGACAUGUCCCUUCCUACUUCUGGUCUCACCUCUGACUGAGCUCAGCUGGUGGGGGGCUUACCCAGCAAUGAGUAAAGCCCUGGGUUCUGUCCUCAGCACCACAUAGACUAAAGCCCAGUAUGGUACAGCAUGCCUGUACGGCAUCAGGAAGUUCAUGGUCAUCCUCAUCUAGGCAGUGAGUCCAAGGCCAGCCUGUGCUACCUGAGGCCCUGUCUGAAAAAAAUUAAAAUGAGUAAGUAAAUAAAUAAUCGGAUCAUUGGCAUAUUGGAGUCUGCCUUGUGAGAGCUUGGAAACUAAGCCAACACCAGGCACUGGCCGUCAGACACCUUCUUUUCGUGAAAAACCAGAAACAUUUUAUAAAGGCAAACAACUGGUGGGAAGAUCUCCCCCAGGAAAGUUCCCAGUGGGUGGUGUAAAUCAACAGAUUGCUCAGACCAGCUUCCUACAGGAUGGCUUUGCACAAACUCGAGGGUCUUUGUGUUGGCCAGCCGGGAAUGCAAUACAUUUCAUCUAAUCCCCAAGGUCUCUGAAUUUGCGAUCAAAGUAGCAGUGGCUGCUUUUGUAUUGGUGCGGGCUUUUUCUGUCCAGGGGAAGAUUGGUCCCAUGAAAGGCCUGGGAAGUAGGAGCAGGUUUGGACUUGGUGUUUAUGACCCUGGAGGCCUUUCACAAUUAGCUCUGGGUGGGGUUUCUCCAGGUUUGUCUUGCACAUUAGCAUGCUACUGCUUGGUGUGGGCCCAGAAACCCAGCAUGGCAUAGGGAUUUUCACACCAGGCAAGAGUGCUAACAGUUGCCAGCCCCGGUGGGAAUGCUGUUAGCAGGGCGGGUUAACUACUCAGUUCACACCCUAUGAAAGUGGCGCCCAGAGCAGCCUUGAGUGUGUCACCUUCAGAGGACGUUCAACCAUAAAUAUGUUGGGUCUCUAAACUCUGCCCUGGGCUUGGAGUGAGAAGGCAGAUCCUGUUUAGGCAAGUUACACUGCAGAGAUCCUGGCCAGAGCUGGUAACGGCAAGAAGACGGGGAAUGUUUUCCAGGCGCUCCAAGCUCCGUCAUUUCUUUCUCAUUCAGGGGCUGCUCCUGAGCUACCUACUGAGCCAUCACCUAGGGAUAUGGCUAGGCAUGCGCUCUGAUGAGUGUGGUGCAUGGUGGAGGUUGGGAGCUUGUCAUACUGCUGCUGUCAUACUGCACAGGUUCAAAGCAGUUCAGAGGCGGCCUCAGGACCAGAAGAGUGCUGUUGCUAGUCCUUGAGUGGGUCCAUCUUGUCUCUGAAAUGUCAUAAAACUCUAUCUUAGCAUCUAUUUCAUGUGCAGAUAUGUUGGAUAAUGUUCUUAGCACUUUCAUUUUUUCUCGCUCAUGACUUAUGUCAGUGUAGUUCUUAUUCCUGUUUCAAGGGGUCCGAUGAGGUCAGAGCUAGUGAGUAACUCCCCAGUGAUCUCACUGGUGGAUGUGAGGAGCAGGAGCUUCAACUCAGUUCUUACAGCUGCACCUGGGAAUCACUGCCCUUUCACGGAGGAAACCAUGAGACUGAAAUCCCAGGCCCUGGCCAUGCUUCUUGAGCAAGUCACUCCCGGCCUCUGCCUGGACUCCCUCCUCAGAUGAGGCCUGGCCUGGGCUGUGAGGCCUUUCACCGCUUGCCCUUGCUGCUGUUUUGUGACCUCAGCCUGCCCUCUGCCCGUCCUAAAGUGUGCAAUGCUGAUCUUUGUUAGCCUUCUUGACCUGCGUACUUGAUUCCAGAAAGCCUCUUUAAAAGGACUCAGUGUCUUUUCUUGUCAGAAAUAGACUAAGCAGUGAGGCCCUAAGUUUCCAAGUUCAAGAGCAUUGUCCCAGGGCCAUCUCUGCCACAGACUGCCCUAGCCUCAGGCCAGCCUGCACCUCCUCCUUCAAAUCCUGGGUCUUCCUGGCACAGGUGGCCCUCUCAUCUUUCAAGGGAUGCUGUUCAUUGAGUCCAAGACCUCACUGACAUAAGUUUGUCUCUCCUGGUGGUUUAGGAGGUGUGAGUCUUCAUCUAACUGGAAAGACACUCCAUGCACACCAGCUAGCCAGUGUUAUGGAGCAGGACCCCAUGAGGGGAGGAGGGCAGGAGAAGAUGCCAGGUUCACAGCAGUCACAACAUAGGAGCAACCCUUCGAUCAUCAUAUGCUACCCUGAUGGUUUUAAUGCAGAGCUCUUAGAGGGGACCACAUACAGAUGCCAGUCUUCAAUAGGCCUUGUGCUUGCUGGAGGUUUGGUGGUGCCUUGGUAUUAAAGGUCCUGGCCCAGAAGAUUAGGAUCUUGAAGGAUAUGGGUGAGGGGGAGAAAGAAACACACUCAUGGUAUUUAUCAACCAACAAAGCGUUUACAUUCCCCACUCUCCACUUCCUAGCAUCUCUCCUGCUUAGAAGAACCAACAGACCACACAGGACAAGCUUGCCGUCUUUCCCAGCCCUUAGUCCGUCCAAAUGGUGGGACAAGUUGUCUCUGACUGUCCGUGUUCUCUGGCCCCUCUAAUGUCAUUGCAACUUUAACUUUGACCUUGAGUUAUAUUUCUAAAUGUUGUGGAGGAGAGGAUGUGUCUCCAUGCCUCAGCUGGCUCCUUGAGAUUGUGGGGUGGUCAUGCCGAGCCGAGCCGGCUCAUUCCGACUGGCGUUUCUGAUCAUCCCCAGCCCCCAUUUGAUUCUGAGCUUCCCUUCUGCUCUUUGUUUGUAACUUCUCAACCUCCAGCGUGGAUGUUUACCUCUCUGUGCAUUACUGCAACACGAAACCGCUCUGUCUUCUGAAAGCAAAUAAACUGGCUUUAAUGGGUGUUCAGCUCCAGCGGCAGCUCCAGGGUUAAAAGUUUUAGCAGGCAGACUGGCCAGCAGGAGUUAGUGGUGUGGAGUACAAGGGACGCCAGGCUGUCUCUAAACUUUUUGGCCCUCCCCAAGUACAGAGAUGAAGGAAGAGCCUCUAUAAAUCACUGGAGAUUAGAGGCCCUGUUCUUGCGGACUCUGCAGGGUUGCACUGCUUAAUGUCAAAGCCUCACGUAUUACUUUAACAGCACUCCUUUCUUUAUUAAAUCCACUUUGAAAUAUAUAUAUAUAUAUAAAAGAUGAUCUUUCCAGUAAGGGGGAGAAGGCUAAAAGGAUUUAGAAAGUAUCUGUUAUGUUACAUUACGGAGACUAAUAACUGUUUAGGGAAUAAGUAACAUUUUUGCACCAUCUUAAGCCAUAAAAGAGAGAGCAAGAGAGAAGUAUAAAGGUCCGUUCCUUAGAAUCAACUUGUUUGAAAGUUUAUGUCACCCUGUGUCCUUGCCUUCUAGCUUCUUCAAAGAGUGAGCUGGAGCACUGGGAAAAUGGCGUGAACAUUAGUGAGAGCAAAGAGUGUGUCUGGGAAUACGCUUUUGUGGCUAAAUGUUUUAGAAAGUAGGAAGGGCGAGGAGAGGAGAAGAGGGGAUUCGGGAGGGAGUACAGUCAGGGAAAGACUUCUACUUUUGUACUUAAAAGAAAAAAUGCAGACUGUGUUGGUUUGAGGCUAGGCUUAUCUCCUUCAUCUGACUUUAAUGAAGACAUAUUUCAAGCAGCUGCAACCAUGUCAAAUGUCAUAUUUUGGCUCAAAACUUCCACCUUCCAAGUGGGAGGUUUCUCGAGACCUAGAAGUCCAUGGUAAUUAUAAACUAAUUGGCUAGCACUAGCAGCAAUCUGAUCGUCACAGAGUUGAAGUCCGAACUAGUUUCCGUAGGUGAAAUCAGAGUGAGGAGAGCUGCUAAUUUGUAAAGCUGGUGCCAAGUGCACGGCCGUCAUUACACCAGUCUCUCUGCCACAGAUUUGUUAAAAUGUCAUAACAGAAAAACAUAGCAGUUCGAGUAAAAUACUUAGCAUCAAAUGCAAAAACAAACUUAAUAUGAACUAAUACCUUAAAUCACCAAUUAUAGCAUUUUAAUUUAUUCUUUCAGAGAAGUCUUAGGAUGAACAAAAGCCACACAAAGAAUUUGGUUGCCUCUAAUUUUCCUCUACUAUUACUUAAAGUCUAAAGGUUCUUUGUAUUUUUUCUCUUUCAGUCAAGUGACAAUUACUUAAGCAGAAUUAUUUCAAAAGGGUACAAUUCCUCAUUAAAAGACUUAAGAAUCUAAGGAACAAAAAAACAUGUUCAAGGGAUUUUGUUAGCUUGCCUGUUUUAGCCAAGAGCAUCUUGUUUUUAAAAUUUCUUUUGUUUAUUCAACAAACGUUUGACUAACAACUACUAUGCCAGCAGACCCUUCGCUAGCUGCCAGCGAUAAGAUAGCCGGCAGCCAGAGCUCCCGCUGUGUGAGCGGCUUGCAAGCUGCAGCAGGCCGGUAAAAAUAUAAAUCAGACUGGUUGUGGUGAUCCAUGCCUGUAAACUCAGGAGCCUGAGCUUGGAGACCAAGUUCAAGAUCAGCCUGGGCUACAUAGGAAAAUUCUGUUCCAAAGGUGAGAAAAAUCAAAUGUACAUUAAAUGUCAAGUCGUAGUGAAGCUUUAAAAAUAAGAGUCAGUAAAGUUUCUUUUAUGAAUGUGAGUAAUAAAAAAAAAUAAGGGUCAGUUUUAAACAUUGGUGUACUCAAUUAAAGGAAGGCUAUUGGCUCUGUUUGUAUAGCUACAAGGGUAUGAGUUAGGGAAAGAGUGUGAGAUUUGAGAGGGACUAGGAAGUUCUUUGAUUUUUAUUUCCUUUAGUAUUUGGUAAUUUUAUAUGUGAAUACAGUAUGUUUCGAUCUAGCAAGCCUUUUUGAGCCAAUUCUUGCAUUGUUCUGGUAUGAUAUGAUUUCCAUCUGCGUUUUCAAGUGUAGAAGGAGUUCACACCUUUAAAAUGUGGUUCAGAUUUGCCGAGGGGGGGAAGCGUCCUGUUUCACGGUGUUUCCUGUCCACACACUCACAGGUGGAAGACACAGUGUGGAGGUGCCAGCGUCCUGCCACCCUGAACUGUGGCCCUUCCCUCACGGGUUGUGCUUCACCUACGCUUUCCUGGGCCUAGGAUGGCUGCCCAGGUUUAAAGUAGCAGCUCUUAAAAUAGCUGGAAGUGGAUGCAGAGUUCAGGUUUAGUUAAAGGGAUUUCCAGGCACUCGCACGCACGCUUGUGUGCUCACUUGCAUGCCUGUGUGACCGUGUGUGCCUGCGUAUGAGCUCCAUGCGACCAUUUACACAGGGUCCAUUGUGAGAGCAAAUGCCGGGUGUGGAGUGCGAGAAGGAAGAGGGGGAGGCCUGCAUCUAACCAUCCUGGAGCAGUUGCUCAGAGCAGCAUUUAGUGUUUUAUUAGGAGAGAACAAGUCUAUAAAAGGAACAAGAGGUUCAAUCAUUACAGAGUGGGCGACAGGAGGCAGCUGCCAGGAUGACUUUGAAACCCUUUGAGAUCCUAGAAGAGUUGCCACAAGUAACACACUGCAGCUGCUGGGGUCAUUCAGGGAAGAUGCAGAACUUGGCACCCGAGCACCCUGCACCCUGCACCCUGUGGUGGGACUCUAGAUAAGUCCCUACCCCACUCUCAUGGCUUCCUGUAUUCGUUCUCUUUUGUUUCCAAGUAGGUUUGAGAGAAUUAGAAGCCCACAGCCCCCUAGUGUGAUUUAAAGAGAAAAGAAAGAUCAUGCAUGCUUGGGGGCUGGGCUGGUAGGACUGGGUUGGGGGAACUCAGGGGCCGCCCCACUCUUGCCCACAGAACUUACACUUAAUGAAUACAUUGCCAAGGUUUGCAAACCAUCGCUUGCAUGAUGUCAUGAAAGGAACAAAGUGUGUGAGUUUGUUUUUGUGCAAUCUACCUGGCAUGUCUGUUUCUCAUCAGCACAUGGAGAGUACUUGCAAAGUUGAACCCCUCAACUUUAAAUUUUUCCAAUUAAAUCCUAUAAAGUCAAGCAAUAAGCGUUGUCCAGAUAAGCCAGAAGAAAGGUUAUUUAUGAUGGGUUAUUCUUGACAAAUACAUUAUUUGAUAUGUGUGUAAAAAUUUUUGAUAACGCUUUCUCAAAGAACAAAUGCCAAAGAAUGAAGGCUGCUGGCUGGGAGAAUUCCUGUGAACGGUGAGCAUGCUCAGAGACCAGCAGCGUGUCCCAAGGACCCUGGAAGAGAUGGGGCCCCAGCCUUAUGAGCAGAGGACAGAUUGGGGGAGGGGUAGGAGAUGAAUGUGGUAACAGCCACAAUGUAUAUUUAGAAGGGACUCUUCUCACAGCCUAAAAAACCCUUUUCCAAGCUUCUAGCCCCAGAGAGGCUGGUCACUUCUCCUUACUUUCCUGGUCUACUACAGUUUAAAACCAUUCCCGGGGUUGGGGAUUUAGCUCAGUGGUAGAGCGCUUGCCUAGGAAGCGCAAGGCCCUGGGUUCGAUCCCCAGCUCCGAAAAAAAAAAAGAACCAAAAAAAAAAAAAAAAAAAAAAAAACCAUUCCCGCUCCGACUCCAUGGAGAGUCAAAGAAAUCAACAACUGUCCUUUAACGUCCCCUACCCCAUCCCCAUAGCAGCGUCAAACAGAAAUAAUGAAUUUUAACCAUGUUUACCCUGUUACCUUCUCUCAUCACCCCACCCCCAUCAUGGAAGCCCUUCUUCCCAGCAGGCCCUCCUCCCACCACUUCCAAGUCUGUGCGCAUGUGUGACUCACUGAGUUAAAUGACUGCUGCUUACGUGAAUACGGCAAGUUAAAUGACUGCUGCUUACGUGAAUACGGCAAGUUAAAGGUUAUUUAUUAGAGCACAGACACGUUACCAGUGCUUCCUUCCAUUUUGUUUGUUUGUUUAUUAUGGCAGGGUCUCAAGCCAGUUUGACUUCAAACUUCCUCUAUAAUCAAAAAUGACUCUGAAUUCCUUUUGAUGUGUGGUGGGUGUGGUAGAGUGUGUGCACACAUGAGUAUACAGGUGUGCAUCCCCAUGCAUGUGCAGGCAGAAGCUACAGGAGGAUGUCUGGUCUUUCUCUGUCCUGUUACUAAAGUCUGAAGCUCACCAUUACAGAUAGGCUGCCUGGCCUGCGAUCUCCCAAGUUCUACCUGUCUGUGUCACCUACCACGGGGGUUACAGGUGUACACCUGGAUUUUCACAGCAAGUGUCCUUACCCACUGAGCCAUACCCUACACCUGGAACCUCUGAUACCCUUGCUAGGAAAACCCAUGUAGGAAAGCAGAAGAAGACCUUAUUCUGUCCCUUGGAACCAGGCAUCCUCAGACUCUGGCUCACAUGCCCUUAGGCCAUUACCAUGUGGUCAGGGGUCAGCAAUGAUCAAGGCCACUGGAGAAAAGAUGGUUGGGGGAUACAGUGUACAGAACUGCACAUGGCCUUGUGUUCCUGUCCCAGUCUGUGCAGAAGAUCAACUAGAAAUUGCACCUUGGCAGGUCACAGUGUCUGUGACCACGACAGUGUAGUGGUUCACUGCAGAAUUCUGACCACCAAACUUAAGACCCGUUGUUUAAAAAAUAAACAAACAAACAAACAAACUAAGCAUAAACUAAUACAUGCCUUUAAUUAAUCCCAACUAUUUGAGAAGUAUGCCAGGAGGAUUGCAAGUUUGCUGUCAGCCUGGGCUACAUAAAACCAAAACAGAGUCUGGAGAGAUGAUCGGGUUAGGAGCACUUGCUGUUCUUACAGAGGACCCAGAUUCAGUUCCCAGCACCCACAUAGUUGUUCACAACUGUCAGUAAUUCCACCUCCAGGGAAUCUGAUGCCCUCUUCUGGCGUUCACAGGCACACAUUAAAAGGCAGGCAAACACUCACACACAUUAAUCUUCCAUAACAGAUGACUUCUGUGUUUUUUAAUUAAAUAAAUGAAGACAGUAACUGUAUUGAAGAAAUACCAACUCCUAAAAUAGGGUCCCAGCUGUGCGGUAGGACCAUGGUGUCUCUACCCUCACAGGGGUUGAACCUGUUCGAAGGACAAAGAACAGCCUCCCAGCCUGGGAAGGGCUACCCAUCCCAAGUCUCUAAACAUCAGACUAAGCCCAAUGAGGAGCAAGCAGAGUUAUGUUAGCCACAGCAUGGCAUUCAGAAUUCCUUUUGUUAUUAAAAAAUUCCACACUGGUCGUUUGGGUUCAGGAAGCCUGAGCAGGGAUAAGAAGCAGGGCUUUUGUCUGGUGCUGUUUUAAUGAACUGCUUCAGGUGUUGUCAAGCUGGCUUUGAAAGACCCCGAGAAGCACACAUGGCUCUCAGACCCAGGUUGGGUGGCAGCAGUGGCAGGCCCCACUGUGGUGUGUCCUUUCCUCCCCACAGUGUGUCAAGGUUCUCGAAUAAGAAUAGCAAAGUAGAGUGGGGCAUGGAGCCCCACCCAUGGGGAUUCAGCCUGUAUUUGAUAUACCUGAAUGCUAGGAGACUGCCCCAAAUACAUAUUCUCUUGAACCGGUGUCUUGCAUUCGAGUCCUUUGCCCCCAGACUAUGGCACUCUGCUGCACCUGAGUCUACAGAGUGACAGAUCAGUUAAGCAUUCAGCCACCCUGGUGAUACAGAAAGUUAAAAACACUUCCAUCCAUGUGGCCAAAGUCAGGGUUAUUGCUGAUGACUGCGAGGGCUGCUACUUUAGGGAAGAGACAAGCCGAGAAUCCCACCGUUCCUUGACAAAUCCUGUUUGGAGACCAGUUUCCCCGCCCCCACAAGAUGUGUUUCUAACCCUCAAAGGGUAUCUGUGUGUCAGGCAAGCUGCUCAAGGCGGGCAGUCUGGACAGGGGACACCCUUGAAAUGGGUCACAACAUCUACAGUGAUGGGGCAGGCAUAUGUAUCCUUCCUGAAACCUAAUUCUCAAGUAAAGGCUUGUGAUCUAAGGAGCAGGUGGUCACAGCCAGAGGGCUGUGGGUGACAGGAACUGCAUCAAAGCAGUCUCACUCUGUAGGAGAGAACAGGGAUGGAGAGAUCUAUCAUUGAGACAACCACUGCUUAGCACUGUCCUCAAGGUGAAGGACAAGGUAAGAGUUCUGUUGCAUGACUGUGUCUCUCUGGGGGAAACUACUGUGUCAGUGCUAUGCCUGGGCAUCACCCUCCAGAUGAAAGUUCUUCGUCUGAUUGUUCACAUUUGUGUGUGCUUGGGAGUGUGCACAGAGAAGGCCAGCGGUCCACCUCAGGGACAUUCUCAGUCCCUCCUCACCUUAUUGUUUGAGACAGAAUCAAUCUCUCACUGGACCAGGGAGCCUCAGGGGACAUGCCUGUCUCUGCCCCAGCCCUGGGGUUUCAGGCAUGUUCCCCUCCGCCCAGCUCUUUACUAUUCAUACUAUACGCUGUAGCAUGUAUACUAUAUAUACACUGGGGACUAAACUCAGGUCCUUAUGUUAAUACAACAGGUGCAUAGUCUUACCCCCACCCCCAUUUUGUCACCCUUUUACCGUAUGACCUGUUUCGGCUGCCAUUCAGGUCAUAAGACUCAUCUUGUUGAAACGCCUGUCAUUGUCUGAAAUGUCUAUUCCAAACUUUCAGGUCUUCUGUGGACUUUCCUACUUUCCUUCCUUCUUCCUUUUAAGGGAAAAGAAAAGAAAGAUUGUGGCAUAGGUGCUCGUGGCCGGCCCACUUGGGCAUCAUCUCCAGCUAGAGUGCUCUUCCAGCCUAUCCGCUUUCUCCUCCCUCUGUAGCUUCUAUAGGAAGAAGACGUUUACCAGAAGGCUCCUCCGGUUCCUUUGGUUCACUUGUUUAUUCAGUAGCAGUUUGUGAAGUGCCAGGCGGGCACAUAGAGGGUCUUCCUUGAGAAACUGAGGCCUGGAACAAUCUUAAAGAACAAGUUAGGAUCUGCAGUUAGUUGGGCCCAGCAUGGCAUGCGCGCAAGGGAGGGCAGAGUUCAAAUGGAACUCCAUUGGCUGAGGAAAGCCAGUGUUCAUCCUUGCAGCAGAAUCAGUAAGACAGUAACAAGUUGGUCUUGAGGAGCUUAGAUAUCACAGUAGUGAGACUUUAGGCCCUCCUGGAAUUUUAAGCAAGAUAAUAUUAUAUAUGUGUUCCAGAAAACCUACCUUGACCAGAGUUUGGAAAAUGAAUUGAAGGGGGUGAGGCUGGAUCCAGAAAAUCCAUUCAGUGCAAGCUAUAUUGAUCCUGGUGGAAAGUAACAACUGCCUGAAGUUCAGAGGUGGUCGGAGGAGGGGAGAGGGGCCAGAAUGUCAGCAGACUCCGUAAGAAGAUUCCGGGAAAGUUAAGUUUUAGCUUCACAGCCCAGUAGAAAGCAGAGGUGUGUGUGCACAGAGGAGGAAGAUGGAGGGAAGAUGUUUACUUUGGAACACAGUGGAUAUAGAGAGCUGCUUAAAGGAGAACUGAGAGUUGGGAAUGCAGCCUAAUGACAGGGCACUUAGCAUGUCUGAGAUUCGUGGGGCAGUGGGUUCCUCACCCGGCUCAGGGGAAAACUGAGAAGAAAAUGGGGGCACCACCAUCACUACUAAGAAAUAGAGGGCAAAGUCGUGCACCCUUUUUGACUUUUCUUUAUUGCUGUAGACUGUGCAAUGCUUUGUUGGGGUGGGGAUGUGGAGAAGGGCGUGUGGGAACUCUUCAGCAUUGCAGAGAAGUUAGAAUAAACCCUAUUGUUGAGAGUAUUUUCCAAAAUUUGACCAGAUGUUUCAGCAAAUUAGCAAAUGAUUAAAGCAGCAGUCGGCUUAGACCUAGACCCCUGUGGGAAUCAGCAAAGAAGCAAGACUAAGAGAGAGCCUUACUCUGGUGUUCUCACUGGUGGAGAGCUUAGUCUGCUAGGGGUCCCUGAAGGUGGAUGGGCAGAGCCAAAUCCAGGCAGGCUGAAUCAGGAGAGGGCUGAACAGGGAGCAUAGAAAGAGAACUCAGAAUCUCGUCUGUCCCUCCAUAGUUAAUAACACAUUUUAAGCUAUUUUAGUACUUUAAAAGAUGCUGUUUGUGCUAGGGAGAUGGCACAGUGGGUGAAGUAUUUUGUCACAGAAGUGUGAAGACCUAAGUUCAGAGCCCAAGAACCCACAUACAGCUUGGUGUCUAAUUCCAGCCUUCCUACCUGGAGAUGGGAGGUAGAGGCAGGAGGCUUGCAAGGCUUGCCUGGCAUACAUAUUGGCAAGCCACAAGAGAAGCAAACUGAAAGACAAUGAAACAGCCAGUAUCCUAUGGCUUCCUCACACAUUUGCAUAACAAAUACACAAAAAAAUAGAAAAUAAGUUAAAUAUUUCUAACGUGUUCAAGCUGAAUGUAGUUAAAUAUGUUUGGUGUACUCCUAACAUUUUGGAGAACAGACACUAGGAUCAAAUGUUUAAGACAGUCUGGGCUAUAAGGUAAGACCUUGUCAGUCCUCUAAAAAAAGAUGGUCUCCAAGUGCUGCAGAGAAACAAUUGAUGACAUUUUUGUCAAAGCAAAAUAACCCUAUAACUUCAGGCAGGGCUAUGGGCAAGUAAAUUAUCCUCUGAAAAGUUAGCUUUGUUCCUUACAAAGUUAAUCACCCAUCCUAGCAGAUGUCUACGGUUGAAUUCAACACUUUCAUUCAUAUCUGUCUGUCUCAGGUUUGAAAAGUCCAUGAGUCCUACUUAGAAUAGUAGAUUCUCCUUUCUUACCAGAGAUUGAGGCCUGGACACCAGCAGACCACUUCAGUGACUGUGCACGUGCUGUGCAGGGAUAAGUACUGGGGCUGGGAACUCACCAGAGACUGGCACCAGUUCUGAACCCACUGGGGUUCAUUUAGGAUGCCAGGGCUAAAAAUCAACUACAGACCAACCCCUAAAAAUAACCAACAAUAGCAGCAGAGAUAGUCAGAUUUGAAUCAGUUUGUCUGUGUGUUGCUUUAUAACCUUAACAUUUAAAUAAAAACAAGUGGACAGAAUGUAGUAUCCAGCCUAGGGGAACAAUGCCCUAUGUGCCUGGACACAUGUGCCUGUGUCUGAGUAAACUCCAGUGGUUUUUCACUCUCUGGCUGGGAAGUGAUAUUGAUAAAGAGUGUGGAUGACUAGACAGUUUUACAUCUUUUCCAAAGGAGAUUGAGAACCCCGGCCUCCCCAGAGAGAGACCUGAGACAUGGCUCCUGUGCCCUGUCACUUUCUGCAUCUAAGGGUACCUCCUCCAUAUUUAUUCUUGUGGCUCCUCUGCUUCUAUGGCAACAGGCAGUUUAGUGCCCUCCAAGUGCAGGCCAUCUCCCCACUCAAAAGUCACGUAGUUUAAGACUUAACAUUGCAAACAGGGCAUAGCAGUAGACACCUGUAAUCCCAGUCCUUAAGUAGAGACUGGAGGCCCAGAGCCACAUAGUAAACUGAGGGCAGUCUGGGAUCUAGGAAACCCUGUCUUAAGGGUUUGGCCAUGAGGUGGAGGGGAGAGAGAAAUGAAAAUCAUAUUACAUUGAAAAAUAUGGGAUUCUGAGUAAGAUUGAGAUAGCAUUUGAAUUUGUUCAUGUAAAAGGCCAUUUCUAUCUUUAGAGGGCCUGGGAUUCCUGUCAGAAGCCAUCAAUUGUCACCUUCUGAUGGCAGCUGCCGGGUAUCAAAUGUUCGUUUCUCCCACAUGCAUCAGAGGUCCAGAGAGGUUGCGUUACAGGCCUGUGGUCACACAGUGGUGAUCAGGAAGCAUCAGACAUGGUCCAGGUGGCAGUGAAACUGAAAUGUUUGGACUCUGACAGCACAGUUCAGGAAAAGGAUGUCAGUCCACAGAAGGGGCAUACAGCAUCACCUUCAGGUCCCCUUGCUCUCCCAGGGGAACUUUAUUUUCUACUUUCCUGAAUUCUAUUAUGACAGGUUUGGGUUUUUUUUAAAAAAAUGAUGUAAAAUUUAUGUGUAUGUACGUGCAUGAAAAUAUGUGGCCACUCACAGAUACAUAUAUAGAAGAUGAAAGAGAAAAAUGGACAACUUAUAAUUACAGAUAUUUUUGUUCAUCUGGUAUCCAGAUGAUCCCCCUUGAUUCUGACAGUUUUGACAAAUCAGUUUAUUAAAAUUGUAAAUGUAACCCAGAGCUGUUUAGUACAGCUCCAAGCAGAAGGUGCUUUUCUCCUCCCAUUAUAUUUCGCUGUCACAUUAUUAGAAGUAAAUACAGAUCAAGACAAAAGAGCCAGGCUUCGGGGAGAAAGAUGGGACUCACUGGCUGCUGUCCCACAGGGUUCUGCUGUCCAAACCCUAAGGAUGUUUCCAUGUGGCUUUAACCUUGACCAGGCAUAAACAGGGUCUGGUCCCCAUGCCCGCCCUCUACCCCUGCAAUUCCUUCCUGACCCCUUCAAAGAGUGAGUUCGCUCCCUCAGCUCCCACCAGGCAGCAGGAGAUAUUAUUCGGGUGACUCUGGAAGCAGGAAAUAAUCAGUGUGGUGGAUUUUGAUUUGGGAUCGGUAGGACAUGGUGCAUGGACAAAGCCACUGGGAGAUUGCAUGGCCACAGCAUGGCACAGGGAGGCAGGGCAGAAUGGGAGAAGAAAUGUGCAAAAAGUGGGGCUCAAUGUAGCUGCUGAAGGGGAGAGAGAACUCCUGCCCUCCUCUUCUUGACUUUUACUUUAGUCUGUCAACUGCUGUAGAAAGUCUGGCCAAGUUUUUACUUCCGGUCCAAUUAGCUUCAGCUGGCUCGAUUCAGGCCACUCUUGCUUUUGUCAUGCUCUCUUUGCUCACCCCUUCUCUGUCUGCAGUCAUUCAUAAAUCAGCCUUUAUCUGUGUUGAGGCAAGGCAUCUUCAUACUUGGAAUAGUGUCUAUCUGUCUUAUCUGUUUUGAGACAUAAUCUCACUUUGUAGACCAGGCUGACCUCAAACUCUGCUUCUGCUUCUCAAGAACUGAUAUGAAAGGCGUGUGCCACCACAUCUGGCAAUAUUUUUUAACUUAUUUUUUAAUUAUGUGCAUGGUGGGGAGGGGUAUGAGGGUGUGCAUGCAGGAACCCAUGGGGGCAGAGUUGUCAGAUGUGCUACAACUGAAGUCGUGAGUGGUUCUGAGCCUCCUGGGGUGGGUAGUUGGGGUACUCUGGUCCUCUGCAAAGCAUUAUGAGCUUUGCACUGCUGAGCCAUCUCUCUAGCUUCUAAUUGGUUAUUGAUUUUUGAGGCAGAUUUUCACCUCUCCCAGGCUAUCCUCAGACUAGCAUUUUAUCCAAGGAUAACACUGAGCUCCUGAUCUAGUGCCUCUGGCUCUCAAGUCCUGAAAAAAAAAUGGGCAUAUGUAAUGGGUUUUAUGUAAUGGUAGAGGUCAAAGCCAGAGUUUUGUGCCUGCUAGGCAAAUUCUCCUUCCACUGAGCUGAAUAUCCCUAGCUUUUCAGAAUUUUUUAAAUGAAUAAAAUAAAAUUUUAGGAACAUAAUUACUAAAAUACUUUAAAUAACUGCAUAUUUAUGAGUAGUAAUGUAUGCACUUGGUUUAUUUUAACUUAGUAAAUGAGCAGAAUUAUAACCAUAGUUUCAAAGUUGUAAUUUGUGAACACCAAGAAUGAGCAACCAAUAAUCCACAGUCUGCUAUUAUAAAUAAAGUUUUAUUGGGAUGCAGCCAUGUACACAUCUAUGUAUGUUAUUAGAUCUGUUUUCAUUCUACAAGAGCAGAGUUCAGUAUGGUUCUCAAACCCUAAAAUAUUUGCCAUCUGGACCCUUAUAGGAAAAAAAAAAUCUUCUCAAUCCUUGGUUUAAAUUGUAACAAUAAUAGUAGGCAGUAAACAUACCAAUUUUUAUUGCUGACAGUCGCAGGGCCUGCUAGCUACUGGGUUUCCCCCACAUUAGUCAGUGAUAUAAAUGCUCAACUUCAGCGAGAAGCUGGUGAAAAUAGAGGUGUGAUUUGUUUUCCAUGUGAGAUCACCUGAAUUCCAUUCAGACAUCCCUUAGAGGCUUGUGGUCCCGGGUUAGGGACUUCUGAAUGGAUUAUAGUUGAGUGAUGUUUUCACAGAAGGAAGUCAGUCAUUCCUAUGCCAUGUAAAACAUCUGCACCCUGCAUUCCUCUCCACUCAGCCUAUUUUCCUGUAAAGGAACUUUAGGUGGCAAGUCAAAGAGAAGUCAAGCCUUCCUGAGGAUUAGGUGAGCAGCGUCGCUGAGGAUGAAGGCUCUAUGCCACAAAGAUGCCAUCUUGCUUGAAGAAGUCAAGUUCUAUCAUCCAACACAUAGAAAAUUUGAGUUUUGGGACUGGGGAGCUGGCUCAGGCAAUAAGGUGCUUGCCACACAAUCAUGAGAACCUGGGAUUGCUUCUAUAGCCCCAGCACUGUGGAAGCAAAGCCGGGUGUCCCCAAACCUCACUGGCCAGUCAGCCAAGCAGAUACAGUCUCAAGAAAUAAGAAGAUUGAGAAAGAUAUCCAACAUGGCCCCCUGGCUUUUGCACCCAAAUACACAUGCACCAACACACAUGUGCAUGCACAGGACCACAUAUAUACACAAAGAAUAGUCUCAGGAGUCUUCUCUACACACAUAGUUAUUAACAUCUCCCUGUUCCUCCCCUGCCAGGAGACAAGGUCAGAAUUUUUGACUGGCUUGAUCUGGUAUGCGUCUUGUGAAGGAGAUUGUAACUGCUGUAGUGAGGUCCUAAGUGAAAGGGCCAUGUCAUGUCUGGAAGACAGCACGUCUUACAUUCUUUCUGCUUCCUCUUUCAUGAGGUUCCCUGAGCCUUGUGUGGAUUGAUGUAGAGGUACUGGUUAGGGGUGACCACCCGACAGCUUCUUCUCCUCAGCACAAGUUCUCCAUCUCUGCAUCAACUGUGCCCACUCCAUGAAGAUGCCACUCUAAUGGAGGUUGAAAACAGCACAGUCUAUGAGUGUAGACAUAAAUUAUUUAGAAGGCAGUUUGACAGCAUGUCCCCUUAUCCUCUGCUAGGGCAUGUGUCCUCUCCAGCCAUGACUUUUGACCAGGUUUACAAUACCAGGCAUGAGUUCCCUCCUGUGGAGCAGGCCUUAGAUCAAAACAGGAAGCGGUUGGUUAUCCCAGAGCGGUCAUGCCAAUGUUGCACCCAUGUGCACAUUCUGCUAGCACAUUUUAGACUCUUGGCUAUUAGAAUAUUCGCUUUAAUGUAAAUUUAGAGCCAGAAGUUGAUUCAGAAUAUUCUUAUGCUAAUUUAUUUUAUUUUGACUUUGUUAUUAUUUUGAUAUUUUAUUUUUGAUUAGAGGUGUGUGUCUGUACUUGAGUGCAGGUACCCAUGGAGGCCAGAAGAGGGUGUCAGAUUCCCUGGAGCUGUGUCCUUUGAAAAAAACCAUAUAUGCUCUUAGCUUCUAAGCCAUCUCUCCGGCUCAUUGUUUUGGUUUUGUUUUGUUCUGUUCUGUUCUGUUUUUUAGAUGAGCUACUAUGUAGACUAGCCUGGUCUGACCCAAAGUCUAUCCUCCUGCCCUAGUCUCCCAAGCUUAGGGAUUAUAGGUAUCUGUCGCCGUACCUGACAACUAACUUCAGUGUGGUAAUCAGCUACAUCAGUGUGGUUGCAUCAGUAUAACACACAUGAACUUAUAAAGCAAAGGGGUGCAGUCUGGACCAGUCUGGUAGUUCCAGUUAUCAUCAACUGGCCCCAUUGCUUUAGGGCUGUGGUGGGACGCAUGGCCAGGCGUAAGUGUUCACCCCAAGAGUUGUGAAACAGGGAAGAGAUAACAGGGUUUUGACCAUAAUGGCUAAGGACCUCCUCCCACAGAUUCCACCACCUCCCGUAUGGCCACCCUCCUAUAUUGAAACCAUUAAGGGACAUCCUACAUCCACACUACAACAGAUAGCCCCCAUUAAACCAGUAUCUGGUUUAGUCUACAAGGUCCCUGCCGUUACUACUCCCACUGUGCUGCUCAGAAGAGGAAGAUGCCAGCUUAGAUGACAGUGUCACCUGCUAGGAUUCUAGCAUUUAUUUUUCCAGCUUUCAGAAAAAAGCCAGCGUUACUUUUAGCUCAGCCGUCAUUUCCAGGAUCAGCAUCAUCCUUGACUGUGCUUCUUUCCGGGUCCUGUAGCUUAAGUCCUGUGGAGAAUGGCAGCGAGAUGGACAAGCUCUGGCCAUUGACUGGGAGCUCUAGGGUCUUUGUUGCUUCCCUCCUCUCUUUUCUAUGAAUUAAGGACUUAGAGAGGGAAAACCACCCAUAAGAUCCCUCCCAGGGCCAUGUGAUCAGCUGUGGUCCUCAGAUAUUUGAGACAGCCCAACUUUUGCCCUACUGCCUAGGAAAGCAAACCCUUGCCAGAUACUGGGCCCCUGAUGCCGGUCAGUAGUGCCAUCUUCCCAGGCAGAGUGAUCUGCUGAUGCAGCAAAGCUCAGAGAGUAUUGAUUUUCCAGAUAGCGUUUGAAUGCCAUCUCACUGAGAUCAAGUACAGAGGCUUGAUGGGAAGCUAGAGCCGCAGGCUGCUUGCAAGGGCCCUGGUCUCUUGGCAUCUUGUAAGCUGUCUAAACCUAAGUGGGAAGACGUUCCUCGUGUAUAAGAGAGAGGAAAGCAUGUGUCUGUGUCUGUGCUUUGGGAUGCUGCAAUAGCCUGUAGGGUUGGGCUGCCCUGGGUAUGCAGUGCAGUGAGUAGCACAAGUCCACAAAGCUCUGUGAGCAGGGAGUGUCACUGAUCCACUUGUGUCUGAGACCCAUCUAGCUGUGGCUCCUGCCCUGCCCCGCUUCAGGAUGCUGAUUUCAACUGACAGCCUUCCCACCUGCUGCUCAUUGGACGCCUGUGUUCUCUCCUCCGGCCGUCACCUCUCAUUACCACCCCGACUUCCUUUUCAGGGAGUGGGGUAUGGGACCUGGCCAACCAAGGAAGAGGGCACAGGUACAAGUGGGCAUUUUCUCCUGCGUUGCCAGUGUGUGACUGGGCACAGCCUGAAGAAGCAGUGCCAUCCCAUCCAGUUCGGUUCUCCUUGUGUUGGGCCUAUAGUGUUUGUGCUGUGGUUUCCCGUGAAUGCCUCUGACAUCCUGGGUCCUAAACUCCUAGAAAGCUGAGACUAAUCAGCUCUGUAUUCAGUAGGUGGAUGAAGGGAGGUGUAACGUCCCUCUCUUCUCCAUUCUAGUCAUCACCUACCUACACCUUCUCGGUGCCCUGUGGGGUAGGGCUGAACCCCAGGCCCACGUGAUAACACUGAAGCCAUCCUGUCAGCAACACUAGAGUAUCGCUUCAUCCUCAUUGCCCCUCCCCCCCCAAUUCCUCCCUCUCCAGAGUGCCCAACCUUCUGCCUCUGGGUUUUCUUACACCCAGGGUAGUUAGUUAUGAAUACUGCCCAACACAAUUAAAACAUUGUGAGUUUGUUUCAUGUUUGUAGUUUCAUGUGCAUGACUUGUGCAGUUCUUUGUAGCUAACAACAAUAGUGUCUUGAUGUCACACUUCACAUACUUCUCAUGUUAGGUCUUUCUCCUUUUCUCCUCAUUCCCACUCCCAAGUAUCUACCUCCCCCAACACACGCGCGCGCGCGCACACACACAGACACACACACACACACACACACACACACACUUUUGUAUUUUGUGUAUAUGGGUGUUUUACCUGUGUGUGUGUGUGCAUUACAUGCAUGCAGUGCCCUCAGUGACCACAAGAAGGUGUCAGAUCCCCUAGGACCAGAGUUGUGAGCCUUAUUGUGGGUGCUGGGGGUUGAACCCAGGUCCUCUGAAAGAGCAGCCAGUGUGACUGACUGUCUGCUGAGCCAUCCCUCUUCUGACCUUCACAUUGACUUCCACUUACCUGUUUUAUGACACUGACUCUGAAAACCUGACAAACAUGUGUUCGAAGCUGUAUUUUCUCACUUCGUGUAUAAACCUGAGUUAGCUCCUUAAGCCGUCUUCCAGUGCAGACAUACUUUCUAACACACUGAACUACCAACCAGAUUAAGUGGGGUGGCUGUAUUUGGUGCAAUCUUCCCUGUCUUGAUACUCUGACAGAUCAUUAUACAGUGAAUAAAAUAAGAAUAUUCCUUAGGUCUGUGAACUCUGAACUUGGCCCUGAGGCUUAUGCCCACGGGUCUACCCUGGGGACACUUCACAUAAAAUCGUAGUGCCUUGGCGCUGGGGUGGUACCUUGGCUGCAACUCUAUUAGCUGGAAUACAGUCCGACAUAUAGCUAUUGGAGAAUUGCAGACUCUGGCUUUUAUUGGCGUACUUGUAUUUUCUGUGUAUAGGUAUUUUGUCCGUAUGGAUGCCAGAGCACAGAGUACAUGCAUGGUGCCCACAGAGGCCAGAGAGGGUUCAUCUGGAGUUACAGCUUUGAGUCCCUAUUUGGGUGCUGGGACUCGAACCCAGGUCUUCUGGAAGAGCAGCAAAUAAUUAGCCAUCACCCCUGCCCCCCUUUUGGCUUUUAAGAGAAAACACAAUUUGGCUUAAGUAUUAGCACAUGCAGCAUUAAAACACUGUCUGAGAAGGCUGCCCUCUAAGACACCGCUCUGCAGGUAAGCCUAGGUACUUUCUGCUAACUUCUAUUUAGUGGAACUCCGGGUUUUAGUUCAGGCAUCAAUUCUGUCAUUUUUCCUGCCUCAGAUCUUUCUAGAGCAGUUCUAGGCUUAAUAACCUUGGACCAGUUUCACGAGCUUCGUGGUUCUCCCACAAACCAGCUGGCUUGGUCAGAGAGAAGGGGCCAAGGCCAGGGCUUAGCUCAAGCUGACACCACUCCUGUGCCUCCCCGCUCUGUGUUCUUUGCCUGGAGCCUGGGGUUCCCUUGGAGCUGCACCCCAAGGGAAUGUUUCCAACUGUUUUCAGGCUCCUUUUUGAGGAGCAACGAAGCCUCUCCACUCCUUACUUCUAUUACAAAACACUGGAGUUCACUUGAAUGCUUGGAGGCUUAGUGUGGAGAAGAGUCCAGCCUUUCCUUCCCACAGACAACAGAGAGCCUAACCAGAGCUGCCUUGCCUCUGUCUGGCCUCCAGCUAAGAUGCAGGCAGUCCCUUUGAACUGCAUCUUCUUCCAUUUGAUGUCUGUCUACUUAUGUAAGACAGAAAUAAUCCCGUUCUUCCUCAGUGAGAGUGUGCCAGAGUACAUUAGUGAAGUAUUCAGAAAUAAAAGAAACUGUAAUUCUGAGAAACCAUGGAGGGGGCUCUGGCUAAUUUCACAUCUAAGUGUUCUACGUUUCCCCAAACAUUCCUGGAUAAGGACUUAAUAACUAAUUCAGGAAAUAACUAGAUAAAGCAUAUAACUGAAACUUGUGAUGAAUUUUCUAUGACCUUCUAUUACAGAUUUCUAAAGACUUUUUAUUCUUAAUAGUGUCUAUCUGUGCAUGGAUUCGUGCACAGGAGUGCAGUGCCUGUGGUGGCCAGAAGAGGGCACUGUAUCCCUGGAGCAGGAGUCACAGGCUGUUGGGAGUCACCCAACAAGAGAAGUCAGCAAAAGCAGAAUGUACUCUGAACUGUUGAGCCACCGUCCAUCUCUCCAGCACUCAUUUUCUUUUCUUUUUCCCCUCUUGUAGACAAAGUCUCGUGUGACCCAGACUGGACUCUAACUAACUAUGGCCUUGAACCUAGAUCUUCUUUCCUUUACCUCCCAAGUGCUGGGACUGUGGGCUCGAGCCACCAAGCCCUGUUGUUAAUACCGUCUCUUUUCUCAACCUCCUUGAGGACAUAUAUCAGAUAACAAGCAUUUGGACAGUUGAAAACCACCGUGUUUGAUGCUUCCUUACUAUCUGGAAUUAUCUUGCAUUGCAAGCUGUUUACAUACAGAACUUGGCCCUGAGGCUUAUGCCCACAGGUCUGCCCUGUGGACACAUUACAUAAAAUUGUAGUGCCACAAAUGUUAAAUAAUACACCUUUAUACCACUGUGACUUCCAGCUUCCAGACAGGGAUGGAAUUGAGCGAAUAAGUCAGGUGUUUUGUCUCAUUGUUUUUUGUUUUCCCCGUUGAACAAACACUUGGAAGAAUGUGAUGUGGGACCAGGGUAUUUGGGUCAGAGGCUGGCCAGGUGACAGAAUUUAUGCAUCCCAGUGCUAUAAACAGCAGUGGAUACAACCGGCCAAGCCCCGAAGCGUGGCUGAGUGUGUGGGGGACUCUGGAAGGUGUCGCUUAUGCCAUUCGGCAAAUAUUUCUACUCAGGCCUUCGGUUGGUUUAUAGCAUUUCAUUUUACAGCCCAUCAUAAUGAUAGUAACCCCAGAAAACAUCAACAAGCCAUUAGAAACUAUGGUGUCAGAAGAUGGAUGUGACCCCAGAGGCCCCAUCACAUCCCCUCCUCCCAUCACGCCCCCUCAAGCAUUCAGUGAAUUUUUCUACCCAAAGUGGUUGCCAUGGGUCUUGGGUCAAAGGAGGCUAUUUGGAGGAACUUUUCUAAACAUGUGAUGUACUAUUAAGUGUUGAAGGCGCACUCUAAAAACCAGGAGGCAUGCACAGACCCCCAGCCCCUCUCGGUGAGUAAGACAAAAGGCAGCAGGAUCUAUAAAUACAGUAGAGUGCUUUAGAAGGCUGCGGCGGCAGAAGGCAACACGAGAGGGAAAGCAGGAGGAAUCACUCUGUGACACCGAGGGUGCUUUCUCCCUGCAAGCACAGCCUCCCAAGACAUUUUCCAUUUCUGAACAAGGAAACAACAAUUACAUUUUAAGUUGCAUUGGUUAAGAACAGAGAAGUAUAACUUGGCAUGAGUCCCCUGUGCUAGCCUUCUAGAACAGAUUGGUCUGUAACACCACACUAAGUCUGUUUUCUAUCAGAGAUUCCAAGCCAGCUUAUUAAAUAGAUUUAUACAAUGAAAGAAUCUAAUAACAGAAACAUUCACCUCCUUUAUUACUUGGCAUUAUUUAUGGUUUGAGUUUUUUUAGCUACUUUUUUAUGCACUAGAAUCUGCCAACAUCAUACUUAUAAAGUUUAUGUACCAAAGUGUAAGUAGGCUGGGGAAGGACUGUGCAUGACUCCCUCUGUCCGUGUGGCUUUUCCCAUCCUGUCUUCUGAGUGUUUUCAGUGUGGAAUCCUAUUGCCUUUGGAUUCAUGACUCAAACAAGGUUAAUGCCACCCACCCUCCUCCUCACCCCACUGUAAGGAUGCUUUUCCAGCUUGUCUUAAGUGUACGGAGAAGGAGCCUUAGCUUGUGUGGGGAUGUACAGAAAAGGCUCAGCUGAUUCUUCACUGACUUGUAAGCAUCUCUCAGAAUUUUCAAGACAAAAAAGAUGGCCAGUCCCAAUCUUCCCAUUCAGUACAGUAUAAUGGGGGAUGCUAGACAGGUAGUAGAAAUGUCUAGAGAAGGGGCUGGGGAUUUAGCUCAGUGGUAGAGCGCUUACCUAGGAAGCGCAAGGCCCUGGGUUCGGUCCCCAGCUCCGAAAAAAAGAACCCCCAAAAAAAAAUGUCUAGAGAAGGUAUGGGUGGAUAGGACCUUUGAAUGCUAACCUCAAUGUUACUUCUCCAAGUUGACCUUUUCUCAAGAAAAUAUCAGGAACCAUUCAAAGGGUUAGACCUAUGGGUCCAACAUGGGGACAGAAGGAGGACAUGGCAUGGAAAUAUGUCCUGACCUUCUUUCUCUCCUGACUCCUGCUUGCCAGCUUCAUCACAACAUAAGGAAAUACUGUGAUUCCUUUCUUUUCCAAGAGGAACAGCCCCUUGCUGCCUCCUGCCCUGAAGUGCACCCACCUUUCCCACUUAUUCUUUAAGAAGGGUUUGUGACCCCAAGUGCUUAGGGAUUAUGACAAAAGCACUGCCAGCAAGUGUUGACUUGUGGAUAGGAUCAUGGGUUGAGGCAGAAGGUCAGGACAGGAGGGAGACCAGGAGCCUCCCAUGUGGCUACUUAACAGCUCCCUGAAAAGAAUUCUAUGAUCAAAUGACGGUGUGCUGAGGGAAGUUGUGAAUGUCAGCAAAGGACAUCCGCAUGGCUCCACUGGCCUCUAUUCUACUCUUUAUGAGAUCAGUUAUUUAGAAUGAAGCACAUCUUCAUCCAUUCACCCAUCAGUGGACACCCUGGUUGAUUCUGUCUUGGCUAUAGUAAAGAUAAUAAAGUAAGUAUCUCUUUUAUGUGCUAAUUUCAUUUCCUUUGGCUACAAAUCCAGCGGUAGAAUCACCAAAUGAUGUGGUGGUGGUUGUUUGGUUGGUUUUUUUUUUUCUGAACCUUCAUAUUAUUUUCACAGUGACUGUACUAAACUAUCCCCCACACACAGUGUGUGGGAGCCCCCUUCUUCCCACAGUGUGUGGGAGCCGCCUUCUUGACUUCACCAGCAUUUCACUGUUCUGUCCGAUCAUAGCCAUUCACACUAGGUGAGAUGAUGAUCUCAUUGUAGUUUCGAUAGCACUUCCUUGCCCAGCAGAGAACAGGCUUCCCUCCCCCCCCCCCGUGUGUGUGUGUGUGUGUGUGUGUGUGUGCACGCACGCGCAUGCGUGCACACUCACUGAUAUGUUUUCUUUUAAGAAGUGUCAGAUUUGGGUCAUUAGCCCAACUCUAUAUUGUGUCCUUUUUUCUCUCUUGCAUGGCUUGGGGUCCUUAUGAAUUGGGACAUUGCCAGCUAGCCCUCCCUCUACCAGUUGUGUCUUCUUAGACAAGUUAUUUCACCUAUUCUUGCUUCCAUGUUCAUCCAUAACAUAGAAUGCUUUCAUUCUAACAUUGUUAGGAGGAUUCACUGAGAUCCUAUAUGCAGAACUCUUAAAAUAUUUCCUGAAGCCACCCAUAAAAACUUUAUUUGCAGAGCUGGAGAGAUGGCUCAGCUGUGAGUAAUAUUUGUUUUUCUUGAAGAGGCCCCAGGUUCAGUUCC
This is a non-coding RNA of Rattus norvegicus (Norway rat), 51517 nucleotides long. NCBI's taxonomy places the organism in Eukaryota, Metazoa, Chordata, Mammalia, Rodentia, Muridae. The record is from RefSeq and is a predicted model, not a curated record.